AAGAGAAGGAGGUGUGCCCAUCCCACCGGCGACCUCUGUCCAACCAGAGACACCGGAAAAUCUAUUGGAAGCGCUAUGGGGCGCUUCCAUUGUGGAAGAACACCGUAUCCUUAUGGGUACGGUGAUUUAGAAGGUUCAGUCCAUUAAAAGCAGACUGACCGAAGCCUGCAGCGGCCUGCUAACAGGUUUUGAGGUAAGCGGCAUUUAACCGAGAAAAUCCCCAUAUAGACAGUAGCCCCUGAGACACUGUCCGGUGUUCGGAAAGAAAAGCCGAACAGAGGAUCAAUUAAAUUUCGCAGGAAACUAACCAAACUAUGUCUAAUGUGAAUAAGCAGGCGUCGCUGCUGGCCGCGAAUUCUCACACUGCCGAAGUCUCCGGACUAAAGCAGAAACUGGAGCGGGCCGAAGAAGAGCUCGGCCAGGCGAGGAAGCAGCUCCAAGAAAAACAAGGUAUGUGAGAACCCAUUAUGUAUUUGAAAAAAGUGAAAUGAUAUGCAUUGACCGAAGUGUCAUGAUAUGUAUAGAAGCGACGAUCGAGGCCGAGGCCCUAAGGAAGGCCCUGGCCGAAGCCGAGGGGAAAGCUGUCAAGGAGAAGGCUGCCCGUAAGAAGCUCAAGGCACGGGUCAACGAGGUCCAGCAAGAGAUCCAAGAUGCUGUCAAGAAGUAUGAGGCAUUGGAGGGAGAUGUUUCGGGUCAAGAGGCCAAACUCUCAAAGGCUCGCCAAAGUGCGGAAGCGGCCUGGGUUGAAGCCCAGGGUGCCCUCCAAGAGAUCCAGGAGGCCAAGAAGAUCGCAGCGGGUAAGGCAUUUAGUAUGCAAAGCAAGCAUGUGAAGAAGAAAUAUCUCAUACUAACCAGUGUUCGGAGUUCUCCAGGGCAUUUGCAGAUCUGCCGCGCAGAGUGUCCGACGUCGCGGAGUUCUUCCGAGCCGAAGAAGGGAGCUCCAAGGAGAAAUUGUUCUGGUCACAGUAUCUUGCGCCAGAGCAUCUCGUGCCCUUCACCGAUCAGCUAAAACAGUUGGUGAAGCUGCAUAGGGUGGCCAAACUAGCCAUGAAGGAUUUGAUAAUCCGGCUGUGGCCAGCCGAAGCUAUGCCCAGCAGCUACUUCGGGCUUAUGAAGCGGCUGGUGAACGCUUGUCCUCGAUUGGACGCCGUCAAGCGAUCAGCCUGUAUUGAAGGUGCGCGCAUGGCCUUCGCCCGUUGCAAGAUGUGGUGGGCAAAGAUGGACGCCGUCGAGCUGACCAAGGGGCCGCCAGAGGGCAAGGAGCACCGCACACCCAAGCGCUACUUUGCAGACGUCCUAGAGGGGUCUCGCAUUGUAGCAACACAAUGUGGGCAAGACAUUAUUUUUGAAUGAGUACAUUCAUGUUGUCUUUGCCUUGUAUGAUGAAACAAAACUUUUAUGUAAUAUAAUGCUGUAAAAAAAUUCUCCUCCUGUGCAGCCGUUUUAUGUGAAAUCUAAGAGUUGGCCAGUCAUCGGCUUCUGCCCCCACGUAGGAAAUACGGGGGUGUUUGGGAUGCAAUCUAAACACUCUUGAUCCAAUUGUUUGGUCCUUGAAGGAGGUGUUUAGCGUGACGAACUAGGCAAUCGGACUAUGCGUCUUUAGCACUCUCACUUAACCAUAGGAGUUCGACAAUAGAAAUAUAUGUGCAACCCCUAGUAUCCGGACUAGGAUGCUGCAGACACUUGAUCGGGUAAGUACCAAUCCCUCGCAUAAUGCGGAAAAAAUCUCUAAGGAUUUGAGACCUUCGAAGAGCUGAUCGGCUCUCGCCGCAUCAUGACAGUCAGUUUUCAGCUUUCUCUACUGAGGUGCUCAUUUCGGUAAACCAAUGCACAAUCGCAGUUGAUCUCCCUUUACUACCCUAGCCGAUAUAGCGGAACGUAAUGUAGCAAGCACAGGAGCCGGGCAACGCAACUAUUGACCAAAGACAUGAUUCGGAGCCAAUGCAUAUAUUGCUAAAUUCGGGGUGUCAAACUGUACUGUAAAAGUGUUUGGACUUUUGUUGCCAUGUUGUGGGGCGCUAUGAAGCCCCUGGCAAAUUGAAACGCACCUGAGUGUACAGGUCUUAUCUGAUAAAAUUACCAGAAAGGAAAAGGCAAAAAGAAAGAAAAAGGAAGAACCAGUGGUAAGCUAGAGCCGUGAAAAUUUAGGCCGCAAACUAUUUCUAUUAUAAUUUCAUUGGUGCGUUAAAGCGCAUUUAUACAAGUAAUGCAAUAAGUGGAAAGGCUAUUUACUAUGCCUUCACCAAGAGAGAGCUGCGUGUGGGUCCUGAAGAUAGGUAAAGGGAUCGUUAAAGAGACCACCUAAGAGUUUCCUAGUACGUCCAUGCUUCUUGUUGUCUUGGUGUUUUUUUCCUUCGAAAAGAAUCGAUGGUCAAGCCGCCAGGAAAGGCCUAAAAAGGGAAAAACAAAAGAAAAAGGGAAAUAGUGAAAGUAUGAGUGUCCGGGAUGGUCGAGCCGUAUUGCGGAUCACAAGCUGAUUAUGCCUCAAUCCGGGUCCAUGGUAUUUUUAGUGUGUAAUUAUGUAUGCGCGAUAUGAUGGCCGCCACUUGGCCAGGACAGGGACAGAGGCCAAAUUGCUAGCCGAGCUCCUGACAAGCCGAGCUGUCCUUCUGCGGAAUGGUUCGGACUCUCUUGACAGUGUCCGAGGGAUCGGCCGCCAAAUUGAGGUUCUGCUUGACAAGGCCGCCCUGUACCUCUGCCGCUAAUGCAGCGGUGUGCUCCUCGGUGCGGAGGGAGCGUUCUGUAUUUCCAUUGACUGUUAUGACGUCGUGCGGUCCGGGCAUCUUAAGCUUGAGAUAAGCAUAGUGUGGUACCACAUUGAAUCGAGCAAGUGUGGUUCGUCCGAGCAGUGCAUGGUAGCCGCUGUGAAAGGGGAUGAUAUCGAAGAUUAACUCCUCACUUCGGAAGUUGUCCGGAGACCCGAAGACAACCUCUAGUGUGAUUGAGCCCGUGCAGCGGGCCUCUACGCCCGGUAUGACUCCUUUAAAGGUAGUCUUUGUGGGCUUGAUCCGCGAUGGGUUGAUGCCCAUUUUGCGCAUUGUAUCCUGAUAGAGCAAAUUGAGGCUACUGCCACCGUCCAUCAGGACUCGCGUCAGGUGGAACCCAUCAAUUAUUGGGUCCAGGACCAGUGCGGCUGAACUGCCAUGACGGAUACUGGUCGGAAGAUCUUGGCGAUCAAAAGUGAUCGGGCAUGACGACCAUGGAUUAAAUUUUGGGGCGACUGGCUCUAUCGCGUAGACGUCCCUGAGCGCGCGCUUGCGCUCCCUCUUGGGGAUGUGGGUAGCGUAUAUCAUGUUUACCGUUUUGACCUAAGGAGGGAACUUCUUUUGUCCCCCUGUGUUCGGCGUCUAGGGCUCCUCGUCGUUGUCUUUGCUUUGCGAUCCCUUAUCCUUGUUUUCGGCAUUUAACUUGUCGUCCUGUUUAAAAACCCAACAAUCUCUAUUGGUAUGAUUGGGUGGUUUGUCUGGGGUGCCAUGAAUCUGGCAUGGAGGAUCGAGUAUGUGGUCCAGGCUAGAUGAGCCCGAAUUGUUCUUUUUGAACGGCUUCUUCCGCUGACCAGACUUAGAGCCACUGAAUCCGGCAUUGACCGCCGUAUCCUCGGUGUUGUCAUUGUUAUUUCGACACUUGUACCUGUUGCGUCGAGACUUGUCGUUGCUAUUUUUAGCUUCAGGGGUGCUGGCGUCUCUUGCAUUGUUUUUGCUACAAGCCAGCCAACUAUCCUCGCCCGUGCAAAAGCGUGUCAUGAGUGUCGUGAGGGCCGCCAUGGACUUUGGCUUCUGUUGGCCGAGGUGGCGGGCGAGCCAUUCAUCGCAGAUGUUGUGUUUAAAGGCCGCUAGGGCUUCGGCAUCCGAAUAGUCGACUAUCUGGUUCUUUUUAGUUAGGAACCUGGUCCAGAAUUUCCUGGUGGACUCUCGGGUUGUUGAACUAUAUGGCUUAAGUCAUCGGUGUCCGGAGGUCGAACGUAUGUACCUUGGAAGUUAUCAAGGAAGGCUUCUUCCAAGUCCUCCCACCUGGCGAUGGAGUUUUCGGGCAGGCUGCUCAACCAGUGUCGUGCUAGCCCUUUGAGUUUCAGGGGGAGGUAUUUAAUGUGAUGAAGGUCAUCGUCGUGGGCCAUAUGAAUGUGGAGAAUGAAGUCUUUGAUCCAUACCGCGGGGUCUAUGGUGCCAUCAUAUGAUUCUAUAUUCACAGGUUUGAAACCUUCUGGGAAUUCAUGUUCCAUGACUUCGUCGGUGAAGCAAUGAGGGUGUGCAGCGCCUCUAUAUUGGGCCGUAUCACGACAUAGCUCUGAUGGGGUCCGUCUGCAGCUUUCAGCCCGUGCAUGACUAGGUUUGUCACGUCUGAACAGCUGGCCGUUGUCGCAUGUCGGGGCACGUCCUCGCGAUCCGUAGACCGAUUUGGUAUGUCCUGCUUUAUUGUUCAGGUCAUGUCGAAGGUCAUAUGUAUGACCGUGAGCUGAUUUACCUCUGACUUUGCGAUGAGGCAGGGCGGGCUGGUGUUUGGCUUGAGUUGACGCUUUGUCCCGGCCACGUGGUGGUCGGUCAGCCACAUUGUGCGAUGGUGGUAUGUGUUCCGGUGCCUCUUCGUCGAACUGAGGUAGUAAUUUGAGCUUCGGGUAGCUUUUGACCGGGCACUUGAGGUCGUAUUCUUCGGCUGCUAGGACGUCAUUCCAUUUAUUGUUGAGCAGAUCUUGGUCAGCUUGAAGAUGUUGCUGCUUCUUUUUCAGGCUCCUUGCAGUGGCUAUUAGCUGACGCUUGAAGCACUCCUGCUCAAGAGGUUCCUCAGGCACGAUGAAAUCCUUGACGCCGAGGCUCGCCUCAUCCUCAGAGAGCGGAAGAUAAUUACUGUCCUCCGAGUCCUCGUGUGUGGCAUGUUUACCAGGGCUAACCUGCCCAUCUUCCCGUUCAUCCUGUUCGGUAGCUGCGUCAACGGGGUCUUCGUUGUCUUCGGCACCUUCCGGAGUGUUAUCUUCUCCUGUGCCGCUGUUGCUAUCUUUACUGCAGCGUGACUUAGAGCGGCGCCGCUGAUGCCGGCAUUUCGAUUGUAUCUCAGGAGGUUUAUCCUCAACUGGAUCUUCUUUGUCAUCGCCGCUGUUCUCCUUUCCUUUGGUGCAUCCACCAUGUAUACAUCGUAUGAGGAAGUGGCCGUCCAACGUCCGGUGAACGGUGGGUCCUGGGCCUCUUCUUCUCCGGCGUCGUCGUCCAUAUCGUCGAUGUCAUCGGAGCCAUAAUCAAGCAUGUCAGUUAAGUCUUCGAUAGUGGAUAUAAAGUGGGUGGCGGGUGGGGAGCAAAAUUUCCUAUCAUCAGCUUCUAGUUCAAACCGGAUAUAGUUCGGCUAUGAAUCCCCCGCUAAGGAUAGAUUUUUUAAUGAAUUCAGCACAUCGCCCAAGGGUGAGUGCCGGAAGAUGUCCACGGCGCUGAAUUCGGCAAUCGAUAACCGAUCAUGCUCGACCUGCGCGGACACGCGUAGUACGGAACUUAUAGCCGGAAAUGAGCCCGAAGUUCCGGUGACACAGACAUUACCAGAGGUAGGUUUGUGUGCGGCUCCAACACCGUGGAGUCUGCGGCUUCCGUGGUGGGGUUAAGCUUCCUGUCCUCGGAUGGCGCGACCUGCUCCGGAUCUAAGGCCAGAGCGGUUACAGGUGCAAUUUCCUGGGUAUGGUCCGAUGACAAAUCUAAGUCAUGUUCAUCGAGGUAACGGGGAUCGAAUGCCGUGGUAUCGAAACCGUCGAAGAUCAAGUCUCCGAGGAUAUCCGUGACGUAGUUCAAGCUCCCGAAUUUGACCUGACGGCCAGGGGCGUAGCUGUCAAUCUGCUCCAGAUGGCCAAGCGAGUUGGCCUGCAGUGCGAAGCCACCGAACAUGAAGAUCUGUCCGGGGAGGAAGACCUCCCCUUGGACAACGCCGUUGUAGAUGAUUGAAGGAGCCAUCAAACCUUUUGAGGACGGCACAGUGGAACUCUCGAUGAAAGCACCAAUGUUGGUGUCAAAACCGGCGGAUCUCGGGUAGGGGGUCCCGAACUGUGCGUCUAGGAUCGAUGGUAACAGGAGACGGGGAACACAAUGUUUUAUCUAGGUUCGGGCCCUCUCUAUGGAGGUAAUACCCUACGUCCUGCUUGAUUGAUCUUGAUGAGUAUUAGUAUUACAAGAGUUGAUCUACCACGAGAUCGUAAUGACUAAACCCUAAAAGUCUAGUCUGGCUAUGAUUAUGAGGAUUCGACCUAUCUAUGGACCUAGCCCUCCGUUUUACAUAGACACGGGAGGGACCUAGGGUUACACAAGGUCGGUUCCAGAGAAAGGAAUCUUCAUAGUUGGUCGCCAAGCUUGCCUUCCACGUCAUGGAGAGUCCUAUCCGGACACGGGUAGAGUCUUCGGUCUUUGUACCGUUACGACCCAUUAGUCCGGCCCAUAUCCAAUAGAUCGGACACCCGAUGACCCCUUAGUCCAGGACUCCCUCAAGGGGCGAGAGCCCCUCCGAGAUUGGAUCUCCCUCUCUGUUAUCUUCUAUUUUGUGUUCCCCAGAUCUUGCCAAAAACCGUUUCUUAUAUUCCUAGAGAUCCGUAACUCCGAUUGCGCUGAGAUUUUAACACAAUUUUUUCCGGAUACAAGCUUCCUUGCGCCCAAAGUAGAGGUCCAACCGACGUACGAGGUGGGCACAACCCACCACCGCGUGCCAGGGGCCUCUAGCGUGCCUUGGUGUAUUGUGCCCUGUGUGGGCCUCCAUUUGCGGUGAUUCCAACUCCCAAAAAUCACAAAUAUUCCAAAAUAAUUCUCCGUAAAAUUUCAUUGCAUUUGGACUUCGUUUGAUAUGGAUACUCUGCGAUACAAAAAACAUGCAGAAAACAGGAACUGGCAAUUGGCACUGGAUCAAUAGGUUAGUCCAAUAAAUCAUAUAAAAAGUUGCCAAAAGUAUAUAAAACUUGUAUAAUAUUGGCAUGAAACAAUCAAAAAUUAUAGAUACGACGGAGACGUAUCAACAUCCGCAAGCUUAAUUCCAUCUCGUCCUCGAGCAGGUAAAUGAUAAAAAAAGAUAAUUUUUGAUGUCGAAUGCUACCUAGCAUAAACUUGAUCAUAUAUCUAAUCAUGGCAUGAAUAUUAAGACAUAAGUGAUUCAAAGCAAUAGUCUAUAAUUUGACAUAAAGAUAUCAAUACUCAGGCAUCCCAACAAACAAUCAUGUAUUCCAAAAUAUCAACGCUAAAGAAAGUUGUCCCUACAAAAUCAUAUAGUCUUGUCAUGCUCUGCCUUUUUAACACAAAGUAUUUAUCAUGCACAACCCCGAUGACAAGCCGAGCAAUUGGUUCAUACUUUUUAACGCGCUUCAGCUUUUUCAACUCUCACGCAAUACAUGAGCACAAGCCAUGGAUAUAGCACUAUGGGUAGAAUAGAGUAUGAUGAUAGAGGUAAGUAUAAAGAAGAAAAAAAGUAAGAAAGUCUCACAUCGAUGCGGCUAACCAAUGGGCUAUGGAGAUGCCCAUCAAUUGAUAUCAACGUGAGGAGUAGGGAUUGCCAUGCAACGAAUGCACUAAGAGCUAUAAGUGUAUGAAAGCUCAUUAUGAAAACUAAAUGGGUGUGCAUCUAAUCCUAUAAUGAAAUAUUCCCACUAGUAUAUGAAAGUGACAACAUAGGAGAUUCUCCAAAUGAAAAACAUGGUGCUACUUCGAAGCACAAGUGUGGUAAAGGAUACUAACAAUGCCCCUUCUCUCUUUCUUUUUUUUCUUUUUCUCUUUUUCUUUUUUUUCUUUUUUUCUCUCUCACUGUCCGGAGUCUCAUCCCGACUUGUGGGGAAUCAUAGUCUCCAUCAUCCUUUCCUCACUGGGGCACUGCUCCAAAAAUGAUUAAUGAUGAUCAUCACACUUCUAUUUACUUAUAACUCAAAAGAAAUAAAAAUUACAACUCGAUACCUAUGACAAAAUAUGACUCUAUAUGAAUGCCUCUGGCAUGUACCAGGAUGUGCAAUGAUCUAGCGUAACAUGUAUGAAAAAUGAUGAACGGUGGCUGAGCCACAACUACUAUGUUAGCUAUAUGAUCAUGCAAAGCAAUAAGACAAUGAAUGCUCAAGUCAUCAAACAGAAGUGGUGGAAGUUGCAUGGCAAUAUAUCUUGGAAUGUCCAUGAAAAAGCCAUAAUAGGUAGGUAUGGUGGCUAUUUUGAGGAAGAUAUAAUAAGGCUUAUGUGUGAUAGAGCGUAUCAUAUCACGAUGUUUGCAUGCACCUGCGAAGUUUGCACCAUUCCUUGAUGUGAGAAAGGGAAAUGCACGGUACCGUAUAGGCUAGCAAAUUGCGGAAAGGUAAGAGUGCGUAUAAUCCAUGGACUCACAUUAGUCAUAAAGAACUCAUAUACUUAUUGCAAAAGUUUAUUAGCCCUCGAAGCAAAGUACUACUACGCAUGCCCCUAGGGGGAUAGAUUGGUAGGAAACGACCAUCGCCCGUCCCCGACUGCCACUCAUAAGGAAGACAAUCAAUAAUAAAGCAUGCUCCAACAUCAUAGCAUAACGACAGACUACACGUGCAUGCUUCGGGAAUCACAAACCUUAACACCAAUAUUCUUACUAAACACAAUCAUUUACUAGUACCUCCCACAUAUUAUCAUCUCUAUAUCGCAAAACUAUUGCAAGGAAUCAAACCUAUCAUAUUCAGUGAUCCAUAAGUAUAUGUAGGAUUUUAUGACUAACCAUGCAAUUGACCAAUUCCUUUUGACUCUCUAAAUAGAUAUAAGUGAAGCAUGAGAGCUUAAUUCUUUCUACAAAAGACCAUGCUCUAACAAAUAUAAGUGAAGCAAAAGAGCAUUCUUCAAACAAUGAUUUUCCAUGUGAAGAGAAAUAGGCAAUCCAAACUUCAAAUGAUAUAAGUGAAGCACAUGAAGCAUUCUAUAAAGCCACACUCAAAAGAUAUAAGUGAAGUGCAAUGAUCAUUCUAUAAAUCAACCAUGGACUAUCUCAUACCAUCAUGGUGCAUAAAAGAAAAAUGAAAACUGAAAGCAAAAGACGCUCCAAGGUUUGCACAUAUCACAUGAACGAAACGAAGACGAAAACAUACUGAUACUUGUUGAAGAAAGAUGGGAUGUGAGGGAGUCCUGGAUUAGGGGGUAUCCAGACAGCCGGACUAUAUCCUUUGGCCGGAUUGUUGGACUAUGAAGAUACAAGAUUGAAGACUAUGUCUCGUGUCCGGAUAGGACUCUACUUGGCGUGGAAGGCAAGCUAGGCAAUACGGAUAUGUAUAUCUCCUCCUUUGUAACCGACCUUGUGUAACCCUAGCCCCCUCCGGUGUCUAUAUAAACCGGAGGGUUUUAGUCCGUAGGACGACAUACAAUCAUACCAUAGGCUAGCUUCUAGGGUUUAGCCUCUCCGAUCUCGUGGUAGAUCAACUCUUGUGAUACUCAUAUCAUCAAGAAUAAAUCAAGCAGGACGUAGGGUUUUACCUCCAUCAAGAGGGCCCGAACCUGGGUAAAACAUCGUGUCCCCUGCCUCCUGUUACCAUCCGCCUUAGAUGCAUAGUUCGGGACCCCCUACCCGAGAUCCGCCGGUUUUGACACCGACAUUGGUGCUUUCAUUGAGAGUUCCUCUGUGUCGUCGCCGUUAGGCUUGAUGGCUCCUACUAUCAUCGAUAGCGAUGCAGUCCAGGGUGACACUUUUCUCUCCGGACAGAUCUUUGUGUUCGGCAGCUUCGCACUACGGGCCAACUCGCUUGGCCAUCUGGAGCAGAUCGAAAGCUACGCCCCUAGCCACCAGGUCAGGUUUGGAAGCUUAAAUUACAUGGCCGAUAUCCGCGGAGACUUGAUCUUCGACGGAUUCGAGCCCCUACCUUGUGCGCCACGCGGUCACGAUGAGUAUGAUUUAGCUCUACCAUCGGACCGUAUUCAGGAGAUCGCACCGGCAGCUGCUCCGAGCCUCAAUUCGGAGCGAGUUGCGCCAUCCAUGAACAAGUGGAUAGACCCCGUCACGGAGGCCGUAUCCUCAGCGGCGAUCGAGCCGAAUAUCGACCUUACCCUUCACGAGAGCCGUGUUGCUAAACUGUCGGAUCCUUCUCCGGCCACGGACUCCGAACCGCCUGCGCCCGUUCCUAUCGAAUCCGAUUGGGUGCCGAUCAUGGAGUUUACCUCCGCGGAUAUUUUUCAGCACUCGCCCUUUGGCGACAUACUGAACUCAUUAAGGUCUCUCUCCUUGUUAGGAGAGUCCUGGCCAAACUACGUCCGACGGGAUUGGGAUGCGGAUGACGAAGAAAUUCGCCGCCCAUCCACCACCCACUUAGUAGCACUGUUGACGACUUAACCGACAUGCUCGACUUCGACUCUGAAGACAUCGACGGUAUGGAGGACGAUGCGGGAGACGGAGAGGAACCACUGCCCACAGGGCACUAGACAGCCACCUCAUCAUACAAUAUAUACAUGGUGGACACACCCAAAGAAGGGAAUGGCGACGAGACAACGGAGGAUGACCCCUCCAAGAAGCAACCCAAGCGCCGGCAUCAGCGGCGCCGCUCUAAGUCCCGCCAAGGCAAAAGUGGUGAUACCGGCACAGGAGAUAAUAGCACUCCGGACAGUGCCGAAGAUGGCAACAAUCCCCUCCAGCAAGAUUUAGGGCAGGAGGAUGGAGAAGCCAGCCAUCGAGAGAGAGCGGCAGAUGGAGAGGCGGAGGAUGAUAAUUACAUGCCUCCCUCCGAAGACGAGGCAAGCCUCGACGAUGACGAAUUCGUCGUGCCAGAGGAUCCCGUCGAACAAGAGCACUUCAAGCGCAGGCUUAUAGCCACAACAAAUAGCCUUAAGAAAAAGCAGCAGCAGCUUCAAGCUGAUCAAGAUUUGCUAGCUGACAGAUGGACUGAAGUCCUGGCGGGCGAGGAAUAUAAACUCGAACGCCCCUCCAAGAGUUACCCAAAGUGCAGGUUGCUACCCCGACUGGAGGAGGAAGCACCGAGACCUACAUCCCCGACGUAUGACGCGGCUGAUCGGCCACCUCGUGGCCGCGACAAAGAAACAUUCCAGUCAAAAGAUCAGCCUGCACCCCGACGCCAUUCAAAUAAAAAGGCAUGGGGAAAUACGCCAGACCUGUGAGACAUAUUGGAGGACAAAGCAAAACAUGCAAGAUCGAUCUACGGAUCACGAGGGCGCGCCACUAUACUAGACAAUAAUCGUCAUGCCGGAUACAGUAAAAGUAAGUCCGGUCGGGCCGAACACAACGGGCAAGACUCAUUUGAGCUGUGUCGCGAUAUAGCCCAGUACAGAGGCGCCGCACACCCCUUAUGCUUCACAGAUGAAGUAAUGGAUCAUCAAAUCCCAGAGGGUUUCAAACCCGUAAAUAUAGAAUCAUACGACGACACAACAGAUCCCGCGGUAUGGAUCGAGGAUUUCCUCUUGCACAUCCACAUGGCCCGCGGUGAUGACCUACACGCCAUCAAAUACCUCCCACUCAAACUCAAAGGACCAGCUCGGCAUUGGCUCAACAGCUUUCCAGCAGAGUCCAUUGGCUGUUGGGAAGAUCUGGAAGCCGCAUUCCUCGACAACUUUCAGGGAACUUAUGUGCGACCACCAGAUGCCGAUGACUUGAGCCACAUAAUUCAGCAGCCAGAGGAAUCGGCCAGGCAAUUCUGGACACGGUUCCUAACAAAGAAAAAUCAAAUCAUCGACUGUCCGGAUGCAGAGGCCCUAGCAGCUUUCAAGCACAACAUCCGCGACGAAUGGCUCGCCCGGCACCUUGGCCAGGAAAAGCCGAAAUCUAUGGCAGCCCUCACGACACUCAUGACCCGCUUUUGUGCGGGAGAAGACAGCUGGUUGGUCCGCAGCAAUAACAUAUCAAAGAACCAUGGUACUUCGGAUACCAAGGACGGCAACGGCAGGUCACGUUGCAACAAACAUAAGCGCCGCAUUAGCAGCGACAAUAUCGAGGAUACGGCAGUCAAUGCCGGAUUCAAAGGCUCUAAACCCGGUCAGUGGAAAAAGCCAUUCAAAAGAAGCACUCCGGUCCCGUCCAGUUUGGACCAUAUACUCGAUCGCUCGUGUCAAAUACACGGCACCCCCGACAAGCCAGCCAACCACACUAACAGGAAUUGUUGGGUGUUCAAGCAGGCCGGCAAGUUAAAUGCUGAAAACAAAGAUAAGGGAUCACAUAGCGAUGACGAGGAGGAGCCCCGGCAGCCGAACACCGGAGGACAGAAGAGGUUCCCCCCACAAGUGCGGACGGUGAACAUGAUAUAUGCAACCCACAUCCCCAAGAGGGAGCGGAAGCGUGCGCUUAGGGACGUAUAUGAGUUGGAGCCAGGCGCCCCAAAGUUCAACCCAUGGUCCUCCUGUCCGAUCACCUUCGAUCGCAGAGACCACCCCACUAGUAUCCAUCAUGGCGGAUUCGCCGCACUGGUCCUAGACCCAAUCAUUGACGGAUUUCACCUCACUCGAGUCCUAAUGGAUGGCGGCAGCAGCCUGAACCUGCUUUACCAGGACACAGUGCACAAAAUGGGCAUAGACCCCUCAAGGAUCAAACCAACAAAAACGACCUUUAAAGGCAUCAUACCAUGUGUAGAGGCCCAUUGCACAAGCUCAGUCACACUGGAAGUGGUCUUCGGAUCCCCGGAUAACUUCCGAAGCGAAGAGUUAAUCUUCGGCACAGUCCCGUUCCGCAGUGGCUACCAUGCACUGCUCAGGCGAAUCGCAUUUGCAAGAUUCAAUGCGGUACCGCAUUAUGCAUAAAUCAAGCUUAAGAUGCCAGGACCUUGGGGGGUCAUCACAGUCAAUGGAAACACAGAGAGCUCUCUCCGCACGGAGGAGCACACUGCGGCCCUUGCAGCAGAAGCGCAAAGCAGCCUCUUAAGGCAAUCCACUAGUUCGGCGAUCAAGAACCCGGACACCUUCAAGUGCGCCCGGAGUAAUCGGCAACUAGACCGCCUGGCACGUUCCGAGCUCGCAUAGCAAUGUGGCCCCCACCCCGGUCCCAGCCAAACGGCAAAAUCCGUGCCACGCGUACAUAAUUAGGCAUUAAAAAUACCAGGGGCAUAGGUGGGGAGGGGGCACGACUACGGCACGCUCCAAGACGCGGCUUAAACCGCACUAGGGUCUUCCGGCUUUGUUAUUUUUCUCUUUCAGGACUUUAAUCUCUGGAAACCCUAUCCGGCAGCAUGAUUGCCGAACACAUGAUGCAGCAAUCAAGGAGGCAGAAAGCUACGUCACACCACGGAACUCCGAAGUGGAUUACGAUAACGAAUGAAAUACUUGCUUUAAUACUAUUCCUCAGCUUGCCCUUGGAAGGGACAUGUCAAAUAGUCCUACUUUUUGCUUAUCGCACUACUUGUAUCAUUCUGUUUUAACGCACCUUUUUGAAUAAACAACGCAUAGCAUUAAGACUAUUAUUGCAUUCUUCCUUUAUAUAUAUAUAUAGGUUGUGUACUCCUGGGAGUACGUACUCUCGCUCCUCAUAUACCACAUAUAUGAAUCUUUUAUAGCAUAUUAUUAUUUUUAAUAUACUUCAUUAAUGAUUACUAGAUACCCUAAAAUGGAUUUCAUGAAAAAAAUCGUGUCUGCCUCAUAUUUUCAAAGUUUUACGUAUAUACUGAUUUGUUUGUACGUGAAAAAGGUAUAUUGCAAAAAGUAGGUCGUAAAUGAUAUUUUUUUCAACAAAACUUGUAUUGAGGUAUCUUAGAAUAUUUAAUGAAGUAUAUUGAGAAUGAUAAGGGGUAUAAUCAAUGCAUAUACGAGGUAUAUUGAAGAUGGGAGUACAUACUCCCAAGAGUACAGAAAAUGAGUCAUAUAUAUAUAUAUAUAUAUAUAUAUAUAUAUAUAUAUAUAUAUAUAUAUAUAUAUAUAUAUAUGUUCAUUCAUGACAUCUAGCACCCGUACACUCUGGUACGGCAAUACGCUAGGGGCUUAAGUAUACCCCAUAAUACGGCGUGAGAAAUCUGAACACUUUCGACAGUGCGGCACCCCGAACUUAUAGCAUUAUACGCAUCAGCUCCGAAUCAUGUCUUGGGUCAAUAGUUGGGUUUUCCUGGCUCCCAUGUUUUGGUACCUUACGUUCCACUAUAUCGGCUAAGGUAGCACUGGGAGAAUUACUGCGACUAUGCCCCGGUUCUGCUGGGCUAAGCACCUCAGUAGAGAAAGCUAAAACUGACUGUCAUGAUAAGGCGAGAGACUGGUCGCUGUUCGAGAGGUUUCAAGUCCCUAAAGACUUAUGCCGCUUAGAGUGAGGAGUCGGCCCUGUCCGGCUUAAGGCGUGUAUAGCGCCCCGAAUUCGGCCUUCCGAAUACUAGGGGCUUCGCCGAAAUUUAAAAUUAUAGAAUUCUAUGGCUAAGUUAGAGUAAUAACGCAUUAUAGUCUGAUUGCCUUGUUCGUCGUGCUGAGCACCUCCCUCGAAGGACCCAAACAUGUGAACAAGAGUGCUCAGGUUUAUCCCGAACACCCCAGCACUCGUGCCAUGGGGGCAUAAGCCGACGACUAGCCAUCUCUCAGAUUUGAUAAACAGCUGAACAGAAGGUAAUAUUUUAAAUUCAAACAAGCAUUGCAUAGCGCAUAUGAACAAGUUUUCAUAAUACAGGAUUACACGAGCAAGUUUACUCAAAUAUUACAUCUUUCGUACACUCGUCCGCUACGAGACCGGCACCCUUCAGGACACCCUCAUAGUACAUCUCCGGGUGGCGAUGCUCCUUGCCCGCAGGCGGCUCUUCCUUCACCAGCUUCACGGCGUCCAUCUGGCCCAUUGCACCUUGACACGGGCGAAAGCCCGGCGUGCGCCUUCGAUGCAGACGGGCCGCUUAAUGACGUCCAGCCAUGGGCAGGCAUCCACAAGCCGCCUCACCAGGCCGAAGUAGCUGUUGGGAAGGGCGUCGCCAGGCCACAUCCGAACUAUAAAGCCCUUCAUGGCCUGUUCGGACGCCUUGUGCAGCUCGACCAGUUGCUUCAGCUGGUCGCUCAGAGGCAUCGGGUGUUCGGUCCCAGUAUACUGAGACCAGAACAGCUUCUCCGUUGAUCUUCCCUCCUCGGCCUGGUAAAACUGUGCGGCAUCCGACACGCUGCCGGGCAAAUCUGCGAAUGCUCCUGGAGAGCUCCGGACUCGGGUAAGUAACAAGUAAUUUACUUUCACAUGCUUGCUUUGCAUAUUGAAUGCCUUACCCGCCGCUAUCUUCUUCAUCGCAUCAAUCUCCUGGAGGGCCUUUUGGGCCUCAGCCUUGGCAUUCUUUGCACUCUCGAGGGCCGCGGCAAGCUCGGACUCUCGCAUCUUCAAGUCAAGCUCCAACGCCUCGUGCUUCGUCACGAGAGCGUGAAGCUCUUGCUGCACCUCGCCCACCCGUGCCUCCUGCCUUUCCCGCUCGGUGCGCUCCUUGGCCGCUUUGUUUUCAGCCUCGGAUAGUGCUUGCUUCAGGGUCGCCACCUCAGUCGUGGCCCCUGGAAAAUUUACGAUGAUCCUGUCAUUUUGCAAUCGCAUCCUUUUUAUAUAUAUCCAUAGACUAAGUACUACUUACCUUUGUUCUCCUCGAGCUGCCUCUUGGCAAGGCCGAGCUCUUUCUUGGACCCUUCGAGGUCCUGCUUCAGAACGGCGACCUCCGCAGUCAGUGCGGCAGAGGCCAGCAGUGAAGCCUGCAUACGCACAUAGACAUACUUAUAUUAGACUCCUGCGAUAUUGUUUGAUCCUCUAUUCGGCUUUUCUUUGUGAACACCGAACAGAGCAUCAGGGGCUACUGUCUAUGUGGUAAUAUUCUUCCUAUAUUUCAAAUACUUACCUCAAAGCCUGUUAGAAGGCUGGCACAGGCUUCAGUCAGUCCGCUCCUAGCGGACUGAACCUUCUGGAUCACCACACUCAUAAUAGUGCGGUGCUCUUCGUCGAUGGAAGCGCCGCGAAGCGCUCCCAGCAGAUUGUCCGGCGCCUCUGGAUGGACAGAGGUCACCGGCAUAGGCGUCUUGCCCCUUUUGGAAGGAGGCCGCCUGCCUGAGUCCGGAACCACUGGAGGUUCCGGUGCGGUGUUCGGCUGAGGGCCGAACUCGGAGCCCUUGGGAGCCUUGCUCCCUCUGCUCCCGGAGUCCGAAAGGCCGCCUUGAGGAGCCUCCAGAACUGUCCCCCCUCGACCUGGUGCUUCUUGAGACAAUACCUCGGCGUUGUCCGUAGGGCAAGGGGAGGUGGCGGUCGGAAGUGGAUCACUAUCCAUAUUCGACGAAUCCAGGGAGCCGUCCGACGAGGAUACGUCGAUACGGGCUCAGGGCGGUCUGCAUAAUCAUAAUUCGGCGUUAGGAGAAGCAGUGCGACAAAGGUAUGCUAUGAGUUACUCUGGUAUCCGAAUACUUACGACUUCGUGAUACGUCUCCAACGUAUCUAUAAUUUUUGAUUGCUCCAUGCUAUAUUAUCUACUGUUUUGGACUAUAUUGGGCUUUAUUUUCCACUUUAUAUUAUUUUUGGGACUAACCUAUUAACCGGAGGCCCAGCCCAGAAUUGUUGUUUUUUGCCUAUUUCAGUGUUUCGAAGAAACGGAAUAUCAAACAGAGUCCAAACGGAAUAAAACCUUCGGGAACGUGAUUUUCUCACCGAACGUGAUCCAGGAGACUUGGACCCUACGCCAAGGCAUCAGAGAGGCGGUCACGAGGGUGGGGGCGCCCCCCCCCCCCUAGGGCACGCCCCCUACCUCAUGGGCCCCUCGAUGCUCCACCGACGUACUUCUUCCUCCUAUAUAUACAUAUGUACCCCCAAACGACCAAAAACGAAGCCAAAAACCUAAUUCCACCACCGCAACUUUCUGUAUCCAAGAGAUCCCAUCUUGGGGCCUGUUCCGGAGCUCCGCCGGAAGAGGGUCGUCAUCACGGAGGGCUUCUACAUCACCAUAGCCUCUCCGAUGAAGUGUGAGUAGUUUACCUCAGACCUUCGGGUCCAUAGUUAGUAUCUAGAUGGCUUCUUCUCUCUUUUUGGAUCUCAAUACAAAGUUCUCCCCCUCUCUUGUGGAGAUCUAUUCGAUGUAAUCUUCUUUUUGCGGUGUGUUUGUUGAGACGGAUGAAUUGUUGGUUUAUGAUCAAGUCUAUCUAUGAAUAAUAUUUGAAUCUUCUCUGAAUUCUUUUAUGUAUGAUUGGUUAUCUUUGCAAGUCUCUUCGAAUUAUCCGUUUGGUUUGGCCAACUAGAUUGGUAGUUCUUUCCAUGGGAGAAGUGCUUAGCUUUGGGUUCGAUCUUGCGGUGUCCCUUCCCAGUGACAGAAGGGGCAGCAAGGCAUGUAUUGCAUCAUUGUCAUCGAGGAUAAAAAGAUGGGGUUUAUUUCAUAUUGCAUGAAUUUAUCUCUCUACAUCAUGUCAUCUUUCUUAAGGCGUUACUCUGUUUCUAACUUAAUACUCUAGAUGCAUGCUGGAUAGCGGUCGAUGAGUGGAGUAAUAGUAGUAGAUGCAGAAUCGUUUCGGUCUACUUGUCACGGACGUGAUGCCUAUAUACAUGAUCAUGCCUAGAUAUUCUCAUAACUAUUCUCAAUUAUGUCAAUUGCUCAACAGUAAUUUGUUCACCCACCGUAGAAUACUUAUGCUCUUGAGAGAAGCCACUAGUGAAACCUAUGCCCCCCGGGUCUAUUCUCAUCAUAUCAAUCUCCAUCACUUUAAUCUUGCUUUGCUUUUUUACUUUGCCUUUACUUUUUACUUUGCAUCUUUAUACCAAAAAUAUUAUAUCUAUCAUAUCUCACUCUCGUAAGUGACCGUGAAGGGAUUGACAACCCCUAAUCGUGUUGGUUGUGAUUAGCUAUCAUUUUGUGCAGAUACGAGGGACUUGAGCGUGGCCUCCUACUGGAUUGAUACCUUGGUUCUCAAAAACUAAGGGAAAUACUUACGCUACUCUGCUGCAUCAUCCCUUCCUCUUCGGGGAAAACCAACGCAAGCUCAAGACGUAGCAAGAAGGAUUUCUGGCGCCGUUGCCGGGGAGUCUAUGCAAAAAGUCAACAUACCAAGUACCCAUCACAAUUCCUAUCUCUCGCAUUACAUUAUUUUCCAUUUGCCUCUCAUUUUCCUCUCCCCCACUUCACCCUUGCCGUUUUAUUCACCCUCUCUCUCUAUCCUCCCUCUCUAUUUGCCUCUUUUGCCCGUUUGCUCUUGUCUACUCAUGUGCUAGUUUACUUGUUUGUCGCGAUGGCUCAACCGAGAUUUGGUGAUCUUCACCUUAAAAGGUUAGAGGACAUCGAAACCAACGUUAGGAAGUUUAUGGUUUUGCAAUUUGAGCAUAAUAAUUUCUUUAGAAACGAGCUUAAGGAACAAAAAAGUUUUAUGAGUUAUAUGGAUAAAGAGCUUGAUAAUAUGACUAAAGAAUUUGAUGGUAUAAGAUCCCAAAUUGCUCGUCUAGAAAAGAUGACUGCUGAAAUUUCGGAUAUGCAAGCCACCUUAGUUAAUAAGAUGGCUGCUAAACAGGAUACCUAUGAAUAUCAAGAUGAAGAUCUAAAAGUUAUUGAUGUGUCCCCUAUUAAAUCGUUGUUUUGCAAUAUGAAUCUUGAUGAAACUGAAUAUGAUCUUCCUUUACCUAGAAGGCAUUCUAAAAAUUUGGAGUAUUUAGAUCUUUAUGAUGAAAUUGAUGAAAGUGGGAUUGAAAGAAAUAAAAAUCUAGAUGUUGCUAAACCCACUAUAUUGAAUUUCAAGGAAUUUAAUUAUGAAAGUUGCUCUUUAAUUGAUUGUAUUUCCUUGUUGCAAUCCAUGCUAAAUUCUCCACAUGCUUAUAGUCAACAUAAAGCCUUCACCGAACAUACUGUUGAUGCCUUGAUGCAAUCUUAUGAAGAAAAACUUGAGUUGUAAGUUUCUAUCCCUAGAAAACUCUAUGAUGAGUGGGAACCAACUAUUAAAAUUAAAAUUAAAGAUCAUGAGUUUUAUGCUUUUGUGAUUUGGGUGCUAGUGUCUCUACUAUUCCCAAGACUUUGUGUGAUUUGCUAGAUUUCCAUAAUUUUGAUGAUUGCUCUCUAAACUUGCAUCUUGCGGAUUCCACUAUUAAGAAACCUAUGGGAAUGAUUAAUGAUGUUCUUAUAGUUGCAAAUAGGAAUUAUGUGCCAGUAGAUUUCAUUGUUCUUGAUAUAGAUUGCAAUCCUUCUUGCCCUAUUAUUCUUGGUAGACCUUUCCUUAGAACGGUUGGUGCGAUUACUGAUAUGAAGGAAGGGAAUAUUAGAUUUCAAUUUCCAUUAAAAAAGGGCAUGGAAAACUUUCCAAGAAAUAAAAUAAAAUUACCAUAUGAAACUAUAAUGAGAGUCACUUAUGGAUUGCCUACCAAAGAUGGCAAUACCUAGAUCUAUCCUCGCUUUUAUGCCUAGCUAGGGGCGUUAAACGAUAGCGCUUGUUGGGAGGCAAUCCAAUUUUAUUUUUAUUCCUUGAUUUUUUAUACUGCUUAGUAAUAAAUAAAUUAUUUAGCCUCUGUUUUGGUUGUGUUUUUUGUGUUUAAUUAGUGUUUGUGCCAAGUAGAACCGUUGGGAAGACUUGGGGAAAGUCUUGUUGAACUUGCUGUAAAAAACAGAAACUUUAGCGCUCACGAGAACUGCUGUAAUUUUUAUUUUAAGAGUUAUAUUUAGUUAAUUCUUUUUUAAGAUGAUUAAUAGAUAAAUUACUCACGACCAGAAAUUUAUUUUAGAAUUUUUGGGGUUCCAGAUCUUGCGCUAGCUACAGAUUACUACAGACUGUUCUGUUUUUGACAGAUUCUGUUUUUCGUGUGUUGUUUGCUUAUUUUGAUGAAUCUAUGGUUAGUAAAAUAGUUUAUAAUCCAUAGAGAAGUUGGAAUACAGUAAGUUUAACACCAAUAUAAAUAAAGAAUGAGUUCAUUACAGUACCUUUAAGUGGUCUUUUGUUUUCUUUCGCUAACGGAGCUCACGAGUUUUCUACUUUAAGUUUUGUGUUGUGAAGUUUUCAAGUUUUGGGUGAAUUCUUUUGAUGGAUUAUGGAACAAGGAGUGGCAAGAGCCUAAGCUUGGGGGUGCCCAUGGAACCCCCAAGAUAAUACAAGGACACAAAAAAGUCAAAGCUUGGGGAUGCGCCGGAAGGCAUCCCCUCUUUCGUCCACUUCCAUCGGUAAUUUACUUGGAGCUAUAUUUUUAUUCACCAACAUGAUAUGUGUUUUGCUUGGAGCGUCUUGUAUUAUUUGUGUCUUUGUGUCUUAGUAUGCCACAAUCAUCCUUGCUGUACACACCUUUUGAGAGAGCCAUACAUGAAUUAAAAUUUGAUAGAAUACUCUAUGUGCUUCACUUAUAUCUUUUGAGCUAAGUAGUUUUGCUCUGUGUGCUUCACUUAUAUCUUUUGAGCGUUAUAAUUUUGCUGUAUGUGCUUCACUUAUAUCUUUUAGAGCACGGUGGUGGAUUUGUUUUAAAGAAACUAUUGAUCUCUCAUGCUUCACUUAAAUUAUUUUGAGAGUCCCUUAAUAGCAUGGUAAUUUGCUUAAUAAUAAUAUGCUUCGUAUUCCAGAUUUGUGAAACUUUCUUUUGAGUGUGUUGAAUACUAAGAAAAGAUUGAAAAAUGAUAAUUGUUUUGAGAUAUGGAGGGGAUAAUAUUAAAGUCAUGCUAGUUGAGUAGUUGUGAAAUUGAGAAAUACUUAUGUUAAGGUUUGCAAGUCCCAUAGCAUGCACGUAUGGUGAACCAUUAUGUGAUGAAGUCGGAGCAUGAUUUAUUUAUUGAUUGUCUUCCUUAUGAGUGCCGGUCGGGGACGAGCAAUGGUCUUUUCCUACCAAUCUAUCCCCCUAGGAGCAUGCGCGUAAUACUUUGCUUUGAUAACUUCUAGAUUUUUUUCAAUAAGUAUAUGAGUUCUUUAUGACUAAUGUUGAGGCCAUGGAUUAUACGCACUCUCACCCUUCCACCUUUGCUAGCCUCUCUAAUACCGCGCACUUUUCGCCGGUAUCAUACACCCACCAUAUACCUUCCUCAAAACAGCCACCAUACCUACCUAUUAUGGCAUUUCCAUAGCCAUUCCGAGAUAUAUUGUCAUGCAACUUUCCAUCGUUCAGUUUAUCAUGACACAUUCAUCAUUGUCAUAUUGCAUAUCCCGGUACACCGCCGGAAGCAUUCAUAUAGAGUCAUAUUUUGUUCUAAGUAUUGAGUUGUAAGAAAAAUAAAAGUGUGAUGAUCAUCAUUAUUAGAGCAUUGUCCCAAGUGAGGAAAGAAUGAUGGAGACUAUGAUUCCCCCAUAAGUCGGGAUGAGACUCUGGACGAAAAAUAAAACAAUAAAUAAAAGAGGCCAAAGAAGCCCAAAUAAAAAAAGAGGCCAUAAAAAAGAGAAAAAGCCCAAAUAAAAAAAUAAAAAAAUGAGAGAAAAAGAGAGAAGGGACAAUGUUACUAUCCUUUUACCACACUUGUGCUUCAAAGUAGUACCAUGAUCUUCAUAGUAGAGAGUCUCUCAUGUUAUCACUUUCAUAUGCUAGUGGGAAUUUUUCAUUAUAGAACUUGGCUUGUAUAUUCCAAUGAUGGGCUUCCUCAAAUUGCCCUAGGUAUUCAUGAGCAAGCAAGUUGGAUGCACACCCACUUAGUUUCUUUUUGAGCUUUCUUACACUUAUAGCUCUAGUGCAUGCGUUGCAUGGCAAUCCCUACUCACUCACAUUGAUAUCUAUUGAUGGGCAUCUCCAUAGCCCGUUGAUACGCCUAGUUAAUGUGAGACUAUCUUCUCCUUUUUGUCUUCUCCACAACCACCAUUCUAUUCCACCUAUAGUGCUAUAUCCAUGGCUCACGCUCAUGUAUUGCGUGAAGAUUGAAAAAGUUUUGAAAAAGUUAGAGUAUGAAACAAUUGCUUGGCUUGUUGUCGGGGUUGUGCAUGAUUUAAAUAAUUCGUGUGGUGAAGAUAGAGCAUAGCCAGACUAUAUGAUUUUGUAGGGAUAAAUUUCUUUGGCCAUGUUAUUUCGAGAAGACAUAAUUGCUUUGUUAGUAUGCUUGAAGUAUUAUUAUUUUUAUGUUAAUAUAAACUUUUGUCUUGAAUCUUUCGAAUCUGAAUAUUCAUAUCACAAUUAAGAAGAUUUGCAUUGAAAUUAUGCCAAGUAGCACUCCGCAUCAAAAAUUCUCUUUUUAUCAUUUACCUACUCGAGGACGAGCAAGAGUUAAGCUUGGGGAUGCCUGAUACGUCUCCAACGUAUCUAUAAUUUUUGAUUGCUCCAUGCUAUAUUAUCUAUUGUUUUGGACUAUAUUGGGCUUUAUUUUCCACUUUUAUAUUAUUUUUGGGACUAACCUAUUAAUCGGAGGCCCAGCCCAGAAUUGAUGUUUUUUGCCUAUUUUAGUGUUUCGAAGAAAUGGAAUAUCAAACGGAGUCCAAACGGAAUAAAACCUUCGGGAACGUGAUUUUCUCACCGAACGUGAUCCAGGAGACUUGGACCCUACGCCAAGGCAUUAGAGAGGCGGUCACGAGGGUGGGCCCCCCCUAGGGCGUGCCCCCCUGCCUCGUGGACCCCUCGAUGCUCAACCGACGUACUUCUUCCUCCUAUAUAUACAUACGUACCCCCAAACGACCAGAUACGGAGCCAAAAACCUAAUUCCACCGUCGCAACUUUCUGUAUCCACGAGAUCCCAUCUUGGGGCCUGUCCCGGAGCUCCGCCGGAAGAGGGCCGUCAUCACGGAGGGCUUCUACAUCACCAUAGCCUCUCCGAUGAAGUGUGAGUAGUUUACCUUAGACCUUUGGGUCCAUAGUUAGUAGCUAGAUGGCUUCUUCUCUCUUUUUGGAUCUCAAUACAAAGUUCUCCCCCUCUCUUGUGGAGAUCUAUUCGAUGUAAUCUUCUUUUUGUGGUGUGUUUGUUGAGACUGAUGAAUUGUUGGUUUAUGAUCAAGUCUAUCUAUGAAUAAUAUUUGAAUCUUCUCUGAAUUCUUUUAUGUAUGAUUGGUUAUUUUUGCAAGUCUCUUCAAAUUAUCCGUUUGGUUUGGCCAACUAGAUUGGUAGUUCUUGCCAUGGGAGAAGUGCUUAGCUUUGGGUUCGAUCUUGCGGUGUCCUUUCCCAGUGACAGAAGGGGCAGCAAGGCACGUAUUGCAUCGUUGCCAUCGAGGAUAACAAGAUGAGGUUUAUUUCAUAUUGCAUGAAUUUAUCUCUCUACAUCAUGUCAUCUUGCUUAAGGCGUUACUCUGUUUCUAACUUAAUACUCUAGAUGCAUGCUAGAUAGCGGUCGAUGAGUGGAGUAAUAGUAGUAGAUGCAGAAUCGUUUCGGUCUACUUGUCACGGACGUGAUGCCUAUAUACAUGAUCAUGCCUAGAUAUUCUCAUAACUAUGCUCAAUUUUGUCAAUUGCUCAAUAGUAAUUUGUUCACCCACCGUAGAAUACUUAUGCUCUUGAGAUGGCCCCGGGUCUAUUCUCAUCAUAUCAAUCUCCAUCACUUUAAUCUUUCUUUGCUUUUUACUUUGCCUUUACUUUUUACUUUGCAUCUUUAUACCAAAAAUAUUAUAUCUAUCAGAUCUCACUCUCGUAAGUGACCGUGAAGGUAUUGACAACCCCUAAUCGCGUUGGUUGCGAGUAGCUAUCGUUUUGUGCAGAUACGAGGGACUUGAGCGUGGCCUCCUACUAGAUUGAUACCUUAGUUCUCAAAAACUGAGGGAAAUACUUACGCUACUCUGCUGCAUCAUCCCUUCCUCUUCGGGGAAAACCAACGCAAGCUCAAGACGUAGCACUUCGCCAGGGGCUUGGCCCUGAGCAACCACUCGUCUUUGCCUUCGGCGGCGGUACUGGAGUAGUCCGGAAGGAGAGUCCUUCCCUUCUUGGACCUUUUGGCCCCCUCGGUUGGGGCGGCCUUCCUUUUCUUCUCUCCCCCGACUGGAGGGGGAGCAUCUUCAUCUUCCUCGUCUUCAGGGGAGGAGUGCGUCGCGGAGUUAUCGGACGAUGAGUCCGAUACCACCUGGCGUCGGGAACUCUUUCGGGUUCCCUUGGCCUUCUUGGUCUUCUCCGGCACCUUGUAAGGAGCCGGAGUCAGCAUCUCCGUCAAGAGAGCAUCCGCAGUGUCUUCAGGCAGAGGGGCCGGAUAGUUAAUCUGCCCCGACGUCUCCACCCAGUCCUGUCAAAGGCAUGGAGCUCAGACCCCGCACAUGGUUAAGCUAGGAGAAAUAAAUAUCCUACCAAAUGUAUAGAACUCACCGAAUGUGCUAGGCGCUUCGCGCUUAGCCUGCGGUCCUCGGUAAGAGAGGGAGGGACCUCGGCACCCUUGAACAGCACCCUCCAGAUGUCCUUGUGCGUUGUGUCGAAGAGCUCGCUCAGAGUCUGGUGUUGGGCUAGGUCGAACUCCCACAAGUUGAAAUCCCGUUGUUGACACGGGAGGAUCCGGCGGAAGAGCAUGACCUGGACUAUGUUGACAAGCUUGAGCUUCUUGCUUGCCAUAUUCCGGAUACAUUUCUAGAUUCCAUUCAGCUCCACCGAUGAACACCAGGAUAGGCCCUUCUCUUUCCAGGAGGUGAGCCGCGUGGGGAUUCUGGAUCGAAACUCAGGGGCAGCCACCCAGUUGGUGUCGCGCGGCUCGGUGAUGUAGAACCACGCCGAUUGCCACCCCUUUAUGGUCUCCACGAAGGAGCCUUCAAGCCAUAUAAUAUUGGGCAUCUUGCCCACCAUGGCUCCGUCGCAUUCUGCUUGUUGGCCUCCCACCACCUUCGUCUUGAUAUUGAAGGUCUUCAACCACAGGCCGAAGUGGGGCCGGAUGCGGAGGAAAGCCUCACACACGACGAUGAACGCCGAAAUGUUGAGGAUGAAGUUUGGGUCUAGAUCAUGAAAGUCCAGCCCGUAGUAGAACAUAAGACCACGGACGAAUAGAUGGAGGGGAAACCCUAGUCCGCAGAGUAAGUGGUGGAGGAAGACUACCCUCUCAUGAGGUUCCGGGGUGGGGACGAUCUGCCCCGCAGCGGGCAGCCGAUGCGCGAUAUUCGCGGCUAAGUAUCUGGCUCCGCGCAUCUUCUUGAUGUGUCCCUCCAUAAUGGAGGAAGCCAUCCAUUUGCCUCCCGCUCCGGACAUGUUUGGAGAAGGUUGAGGGGAAGGAUGUAGACUUGGGCGUUGGAGCUCGAGCGCGCAAGAAUGGAUGAGCAAGGAGGAAGAAGGCAUGGGUAGAGAAAGGUUAAACAUUAUCCCCUUAUAAGGGCGGCCGAAAUUAUGCGCCCUGCUAGCCUGGUAAAACUCGCUUAUCCCCCAAGUGCCGUAAUUGAUGGCGCGGUUGGGUUACCCACGCCCGUAUUGAUGAGAAUCCCGUAAUAAGGGGGACAUGAUCUCUGCUUUAACAAGACGUGUCAAGAAACUGCCUCGUGUUAUGUGCGGGCUGGUUAAAGGAAACGGUUCGAAUAAUCACCGGGCCAUGGCAUAAUGUCAUAUUGCCAAAACGUGUCAGCAGAUUAGAUUUGUGGAAAUAUUAUUCUCUCUACGGUGGUAUGUGGAACUUAUUUUGCAGGGUCGGACACUAUCCUUGUAUUCAAAUUUUUCCGUGGUGUAUUCGGAGGAGGAACCCGCCUUGCGAUGCCGAAGACAACACUGCGUGCCGGACUCGUCGUCAUUGAAGCCUGGUUUAGGGGCUACUGAGGGAGUCCUGGAUUAGGGGGUAUCCGGAUAGCCUGACUAUAUCCUUUGGCCGGACUGUUGGACUAUGAAGAUACAAGAUUGAAGACUUCAUCUCGUGUCCGGAUAGGACUCUACUUGGCGUGGAAGGCAAGCUAGGCGAUACGGAUAUGUAUAUCUCCUCCUUUGUAAUCGACCUUGUGUAACCCUAGCCCCCUCCGGUGUCUAUAUAAACCGGAGGGUUUUAGUCCGUAGGAUGACAUACAAUCAUACCAUAGGCUAGCUUCUAGGGUUUAGCCUCUCCGAUAUCGUGGUAGAUCAACUCUUGUAAUACUCAUAUCAUCAAGAAUAAAUCAAGCAGGACGUAGGGUUUUACCUCCAUCAAGAGGGCCCGAACCUGGGUAAAACAUCGUGUCCCCUGCCUCCUGUUACCAUCCGCCUUAGACGCACAGUUCGGGACCCCCUACCCGAGAUCCACCGGUUUUGACACUGACAGGAUGCCUUCCGGGGCAUCCCCAAGCUUAGACGCUUGAGUAUCCUUGAAUAUUUACUUGGGGUGCCUUGGGAAUACCCAAGCUUGAGCUCUUGCCUGUCCUUGUUCUCCUCAUAUCGAGACCUCCUCGAUCUUUGAUCACCUUAUCCACACAAAACUCAACAGGAAACUCGGUAAGAUCCGUUAGUAUAAUAAAGCAAAUCACUACUCUAAGUACUAUUGCAAACCAAAUCAUAUUUUGUUUUUGCAUUAUAGCUACUGUAAUAUAACCUUUUCAUGGCUUAUACCACCGAUAAAAAUUGAUGGUUUCAUCAAAACGAGCAAAACAAUGCAUCAAAAAUAGAAUCGGUCUUAAACAGGACAGUCUGUAGUAAUCUGAACAUUAACCAUACUUCUGGUACUCCAAAAAUUCUGAAAAAUAAACAUUUUGUAUAGAAAGACAGUGCAAAAAGUUUCAGAACCGUUUGACGUUCCAGUAAAAAUGUAAAAUCGCGCACUACAGCCAAAGUUUCUGUUUUGCACCGCACAAACCAACAAGCAAUGUAAACAUCCUAAAGGCAAAUCUUGGCACAUUAUUUUUAUAAUACAAUGGAAUUGUACAAGGGGAUUAUUAUUAUUUUUUAAAUUUUCUAUAAUUAAGAUUCGCAAAGUUUCCUUGAGCAUGAACAAAGUUCAAGGACGUCCCCCACUUUCACAAUGCUCAUCUAUCUCACUUUCACUUUUAUUUUUGUGAAGUUUUAAGUUCCCCUCUAUAUUUUUUUGUCUUUAAACUAUAUAAAAUCACUCAACAGAAAUAAAUGACUCUCUAAAACUUCCGGGUUGUCUCCCUGGCAGCGCUUUCUUUAAAGCCAUAAAGCUAGGCAUAAAGUGCUCAAGUAAUGGAUCCACCCGGAUCCCAAGGUAUAUCAAAGCCAAUUUGAAUUAACAAUGAUUUGGCAUUUAGUAGUGAGCACAAAGCAACAUAUAUCAAGCAAUGACGAAGUCUAACUCUCUUCCUAUGCAUCGGCAUGUCAUACAGGAACUAUUCAUGCACAUCAAGUAAAGGCCAAUACAUAGCAUAAGCAGUUUCUUGCAACUUUAUCGUGUUGGAAACAUAGAGAGGUGGAGAUAUAGUUCCUCUCUCCUAAUAAUUGCAAGUAGGAGAAGAAAGCACAUGCAUAUUAUAUUCAUUAAAAUCAUCAUGUUUAAUGGUAGAAUGCAACCCAUCAAUAUAAUCCUUAACAAGAGCAAACUUAUCUGAUAUAGUGUAGUUGGGAGAAUUCAAAAAGAUAAUAGGACUAUCAUGUGUGGGUGCAAUAGCAACAAUUUCAUGUUUAACAUAAGGAACAAUAGCAAGUUCAUCGCCAUAAGCAUAAUUUAAAUUGGCAUCAUGGCCACAAGCACAACAAGCAUCAUCAAAAAGGGAUAUUUCAAAUGAAUCAAUGGGAUCAUAGCAAUUAUCAUGGCAUUAAUCGUUUGAUAAGAACGAAGGAGCAUUAAACAAUGUAUGAGUUGGAGGGUUACUUUCAUUAGAAGGCAGGCACGGGUGAUCAAUCUGGUCUUCCUUCGCUUGUUCUUCGCUCUCCUCAUCAUCUUUUUCAUCCAAUGAGCUCAUAGUUUCAUCAAUUCCUUCUUCCAUAGACUCCUGCAAAAUAUUAGUCUCUUCUUGCACAGCGGAGACUUUCUCAAUAAAUGCAUCAAUAUCGGAAUUGUAUUUAUAAUUAUCAUAGAAAUAUUUAAGGAUAGCAAGAUUUUCAGGUCUAUAAACUGAAUCAUCAAAAUCUUCAAAAAAAUUAAACAAAGAUUCAAUUUCACAUGCACCCUUGAAAGCAACAAAUUCUUCUAUUCGUUCCACAUCAUAGUAAUCAUAUAUACCAUUAGCAAAAGAAGCCAAGGUUUCAUUAUCAUUAAAUUCACAUGAAAAGGGAAGAUGUGGAGCAUUCAUCCUAGAGCAACAAGUAUAAUCAUAUCUCUGGCAUAAAUCCCAAGCAUACCAAUUCAACAUAUGAAUUUGAUCCCAUAACAAUUUCCCUUUAUGAGUCAAGCGAUAAUCAUUAAAGUAUUCACGUUGAUCCAAUGUUACUCCCAUUAUCAAGUUGAAUGGGGUUUUCUCAGGAUUAUCAAAGUAGUGCAUAAUAUUUUCACAUAACGAGCAUCGAGGGUUUUAGGAGGUUCCCCAUCUCCAUGAGUAGCAAGUACCACUAAUUUUUUGGUGUUUUGUGUUCCAUAUCCAUAACUAAAGAUAGAGAACAACUUAGAACAGGAAAUAAAAACUACUUAGUGAUAAAGCAAACAAGCACACACGAGAAUAUUCACCCCACGCUAUGGCUCCCUGGCAACGGCGCCAGAAAAAGGUAUUGAUAACCCACAAGUAUAGGGGAUCAUUUGUAGCCUUUUUUUAUAAAUAAGAGUGUCAAACCCAACGAGGAGCUAAAGGUAGAACGAAUAUUCUCCCAAGUUCUAUCGGCCACCGAUACAACUCUACGCACGCUUGACGUUUGCUUUACCGGAAACAAGUACGAAACUAUUUUGUAGGAAUAAAUCUAUGAGUACUUUGCGGGAAUAAAACUACGGAUAAAUUGUAAGGUAAUAAAAGUGGAAAUCUUUUGUCAAUAAGAAAGUCAUUUGUCCCUAGGCAAUUGAUAACAAGUACCAGUAAUCAUUCUUGCAAUUUUAUAUGAGGGAGAGGCAUGAGCUCACAUACUUUAUCUACUUGGAUCAUAUGCACUUAUGAUUGGAACUCUAGCAAGCAUCCGCAACUACUAAAGAUCAUUAAAGUCGUGAAACCCAACCAUAGCAUUAAGUAUCAAGUCCUCUUUACUCCCAUACGCCAUAGCCCACCUAUUCGCGUUUAAGUUUUUGUCACUCUCGCAACACUGACAACAAGAAAACCAUGAACAUAUUGCAACACCCUACAGCGAGGGACCCUCACGUUUGCGCGAGAUGGAGGGCACCUUAGUAUAGCACCAUAAAUAAAAUAUACAAUCAUACCAACCAAGAUCAUGAUUAACCCACAUGACAAAACGGAUCUACUCAAACAUCAUAGGAUAACCAUAGAUCAUUGGGAAAUAAUAUAUGGAGUUGAGCACCAUGUUUAAGUAGAGAUUACAAUGGGGAGAAGAGAUGUUACACCGCUGCAAAGAGGGGGAGAGAGUUGGUGAUGACGGUAGCAAGAUUCUUGAUGUAGAUCGUCGUCCCGAUCGUUGUCCCGGUGGCACUCUGGCGCCACCGGAAGCGAGGGAGAGAGAGCCCCCCUACUUCUUCUUCUUCUUCCUUGGCCUCCUCCCUAGGUGGGAGAAGGAUUUCCCCUCUGGUCCUUGGCUCCCAUGGCACAAGAGGAGCGAGAGCCCCUCUGAGAUUGGAUCUCCCUCUUUGUUCUCUUCUGUUUUGCGUUCCCAGAUCUGGUCGAAAACCAUUUCUUAUAUUCCCGGAGAUCCGUAACUCCGAUUGUGCUGAGAUUUUAACAUGAUUUUUUUGGAUAUAAGCUUCCUUGUGCCCGAAGUAUAGGUCCAACCGAUGUACGAGGUGGGCACAACCCACCACCGUGCGCCAGGGGCCUCUGGCGCGCCCUGGUGUAUUGUGCCCUAUGUGGGCCUCCGUUUGCGGUGAUUCCAACUCCCAAAAAUCACAAAUAUUCCAAAAUAAUUCUCCGUAAAAUUUCAUUGCAUUUGGACUUCGUUUGAUAUGGAUACUCUGUGAUACAAAAAACAUGCAAAAAACAGGAACUGGCACUUGGGACUGGAUCAAUAGGUCAGUCCAAUAAAUCAUAUAAAAAGUUGCCAAAAGUAUGUAAGACUUGUAUAAUAUUGGCAUGAAACAAUCAAAUAUUAUAGAUAUGAUGGAGAUGUAUCAUGUCUCAACAUGAUGAACUGUCGCAACAGUGCAUACUCAGGGAGAACACUUAUACCUUGAAAUUUAGUUAAGGGGUCAUCUUAUAGUGCUACCACCGUACUAAGCAAAAUAAGAUGCAUAAAAGAUAAACAUCACAUGCAAUCAAAAUAUGUGACAUGAUAUGGCCAUCAUCAUCUUGUGCUUUUGAUCUCCAUCUCCAAAGCAUCGUCAUGAUCUCCAUUGUCACCGGCUCGACACCUUGAUCUUCAUCGUUGCGUCGUGGUCGUCUCACCAACUAUUGCUUCUACAACUAUCACUAACGCAUACUAAUAAAGUAAAACAAUUACAUGGCGUUUGCCUUUCAUACAAUAAAGAGAAAACCAUAAGGCUCCUGCCGGUUGCUGAUAACUUUUACGAAACAUGAUCAUCUCAUACAAUAACGUAUAUCACAUCAUGUAUUGACCAUAUCACAUCACAACAUGCCCUGCAAAAACAAGUUAGAUGUCCUCUACUUUGUUGUUGCAAGUUGUACAUGGCUGGUACGGGCUUCUAGCAAGAACCAUUCUUACCUACACAUCAAAACCACAAUGGUGUUUCGUCAAGAUUGCUGUUUUAACCUUCUUCAAGGACCGAAGUAGAAGAAAUAGACACCCGCCAGCCACCUUUAUGCAAAACUAGUUGCAUGUCUGUCAGUGGAACCGGUCUCAUGUGCGUGGACAUGUAAGGUUGGUCCGGACCGCUUCAGCCCACAAUACCACCUAAUCAAAAUAAGAGGUUGGUGGUAAGUAGUAUGACUAUCACCGCCCACAACUCUUUGUGUUCUACUCGUGCAUAUCAUCUACGCAUAGACAUGGCUCAUGAUGCCAGCAUUGGGAAACGUUGCAUGGAAAACAAAAAAAAAUAUACGCACACACAAUGAUCUAUCCAUGGAUAUGCAUAGCAACGAGGGGAAGAGUGAGUCUACGUACCCUCGUAGACCAUAAGCGGAAGUGUUUGACAAUGUCGUUGAUGUCGUCGUACUUCUUCUAGCUACGACCGAUCAAGUACCGAACGUACGGCACCUCCGAGUUCUGCACACGUUCAACUCGGUGACGUCCCUCACCUUCUUGAUCCAGCAAGACGUCGAGGUAGUAGAUGAGUUCCGUCAGCACAACGAUGUGGCGACGGUGAUGGUGAAGUGAUCCUCGCAGGGCUUCGCCUAAGCACUACGAAGAUAUGACCGUGGGAGUAAACGAUGGAGGGGGGCACCGCACACAGCUAAUAAUUGUCUGUGGUGUGCUAGGGGCGCCCCCCACAUAUAUAUAUAUAUAUAUAUGUGGGGGGGGGAGGGAGAGGGGAGGCAGCCAGGGUGCGCCCCAAGUAGGAUCCGAAUCCUACUUUGUGUUUCCCCAAGUGGCGCCCCCUGCCUUCUUUCACCGGAGAAGAAAGGGAGGGGAGAGAGAAAGGAAAGGGGGGGCGAACCCCCUUUUUCCUUCUCCCAAUUCGGCCUCCUGCCAUAGGGGGGCGUGCCACCCCUUGUGGGCUGGUGUGCUCCCCUCUCAUGGCCUAUAUGGCCCGUAUAUUCCCCCCGGGGGUUCCGGUAACCCCUUCGGUACUCCGAUAAAUACCCGAUACAAUCCGGAACACUUUCGGUGUCCGAAUACUAUCGUCCUAUAUAUCAAUCAUUACCUCUCGACCAUUUUGAGACUCCUCGUCAUGUCUGUGAUCUCAUCCGGGAUUCCGAACAACAUUCGGUCACCAAAUCAUAACUCAUAUAGUAUAAUGCCGUCAUUGAACGUUAAGCGUGCGGACCCUACGAGUUCGAGAACUAUGUAGACAUGACCGAGACACCUCUCUGGCCAAUAACCAAUAGUGGAACCUGGAUGCUCAUAUUGACUCCUACAUAUUCUACAAAGAUCUUUAUCGGUUGAACCGUUAUGACAACAUACGCAAUUCCCUUUGUCCAUCGGUAUGUUACUUGCCCGAGAUUCGAUCGUCGGUAUCUUCAUACCUAGUUCAAUCUCGUUACCGGCAAGUCUCUUUACUCGUUAUGUAAUACAUCACCUCAUGACUAACUCCUUAGUCAUUUGCUUGCAAGCUUAUGAUGUGUAUUACCGAGAGGGCCCAGAGAUACCUAUCCGAUACUUAGAGUGACAAAUCCUAAUAUCGAUCUAUACCAACUCAACAAACACCUUCAGAGAUACCUGUAGAGCAUCUUUAUAAUCACCCAGUUACAUUGUAAUGUUUGAUAGCACACAAGGCAUCCCUCCGGUAUCCGGGAGUUGCAUAAUCUCAUAGUAAAAGGAAUAUCUAUUUGACAUGAAGAAAGCAAUAGCAAUAAAACUGAACGAUCAGUAUGCUAAGUGAUACGUCUCCAACGUAUCUAUAAUUUUUUAUUGUUCCAUGCUAUAUUAUAUUCUGUUUCGGACAUUAUUGGGCUUUAUUAUACACUUUUAUAUUAUUUUUGGGACUAACCUAUUAAUCGAAGGCCCGGCCCAGAAUUGUUGUUUUUUGCCUAUUUCAGAGUUUCGCGGAAAAAGAAUAUCAAACAGAGUCCAUACGGAAUGAAACCGUCGGGAACGUGAUUUUUGGAACGAACGUGAUCCAGAGGACUUGGACCCUACGUCAAGAAAGCUACCAGGAAGGCACGAGGUAGGGGGGGCGCCUACCCCCCCCCCCAGGCGCGCCCUCCACCCUCGUGGGGCCCAUGUUGCUCCACCGACGUACUUCUUCCUCCUAUAUAUACCUACGUACCCCCAAACUACCAAAUACGGAGCAAAAAACAUAAUUCCACCGCCGCAACCUUCUGUACCCGUGAGAUCCCAUCUUGGGGCCUUUUCCGGAGCUCCGCCGGAGGGGGCAUCAAUCACGGAGGGCUUCUACAUCAACACCAUAGCCUCUCUGAUGAUGUGUGAGUAGUUUACCUCAGACCUUCGGGUCCAUAGUUAUUAGCUAGAUGGCUUCUUCUCUCUCUUUCGAUCUCAAUACAAAGUUCUCCAUGAUUCUCGUGGAGAUCUAUUCGAUGUAAUCUUCUUUUGCGGUGUGUUUGUUGAGACCGAUGAAUUGUGGGUUUAUGAUCAAAUUGAUCUAUGAACAAUAUUUGAAUCUUCUCUGAAUUCUUUUAUGUAUGAUUGGUUAUCUUUGCAAGUCUCUUCGAAUUAUCAGUUUGGUUUGCCUACUAGAUUGAUCUUUCUUGCAAUGGGAGAAGUUCUUAGCUUUGGGUUCAAUCUUGCGGUGUCCUUUCCCAGUGAAAGUAGGGGCAGCAAGGCACGUAUUGUAUUGUUGCCAUCGAGGAUAACAAGAUGGGGUUUAUAUCAUAUUGCAUGAGUUUAUCCCUCUACAUCAUGUCAUCUUACUUAAAGCGUUACUCUGUUCUUUUGAACUUAAUACUCUAGAUGCAUGCUGGAUAGUGGUCGAUGUGUGGAGUAAUAGUAGUAGAUGCAGGCAGGAGUCGGUCUACUUGUCUCAGAUGUGAUGCCUAUAUACAUGAUCAUACCUAGAUAUUCUCAUAACUAUGCUCAAUUCUGUCAAUUGCUCAACAGUAAUUUGUUUACCCACUAUAAUACAUAUGCUCUCGAGAGAAGCCACUAGUGAAACCUAUGGCCCCGGGGUCUAUUUUCCAUCAUAUUAAUCUCCCGUUAACAAGCUAUUUCCGGUGCCAUUUUUAUUUCGCUUUAUUUACUUUGCAUCUUUAUCAUAAAAAUACCAAAAAUAUUAUCUUAUCAUAUCUAUCAGAUCUCACUUUCAUAAGUGACCGUGAAGGGAUUGACAACCCCUUUAUUGCGUUGGUUGCGAGGAUUUUAUUUGUUUGUGUAGGUGCGAGGAACUCGUGCGUGGCCUCCUACUGGAUUGAUACCUUGGUUCUCAAAAACUGAGGGAAAUACUUACGCUACUUUGUUGCAUCACCCUUUCCUCUUCAAGGGAAAACCAAGGCAGUGCUCAAGAGGUAGCAAGAAGGAUUUCUGGCGCUGUUGCCGGGGAGUCUACGCAAAAGUCAAUAUACCAAGUACCCAUCACAAACCCUUAUCUCCCGCAUUACAUUAUUUGCCAUUUGCCUCUCGUUUUCCUCUCCCCCACUUCACCCUUGCCGUUUUAUUCGCCCUCUCUUUCCGUUCUCCUUCCUCCUUCUUUUUGCCCCUUGCACUUUCUGCCGUUAUGUCUGAAAUUGGGGAAAUUAUUGUUGAUAUGGACAAUAAUAAUAUCAUGGAAAAUUUUGAUGCUCCUGCUGAAGAACCCCCUAUCUUACAUACAAAAAAAAUUCUGAAUUGGUAGUGGUAAUAUUAUUGGAAAAGGAGUUAUCCAAGAUUUAUUUACUUGUACCGGUGCUUUGCCUUCUAUGGGUAGUUCUGUUCUUCAUAGAACUAGUAGUCUUGCGGACGCUAUCGCCAUGCUUGUAGUUGAACUUGAAAGACAAUUUAUGCACAUGCAUCCUUGCAUACAAAGGAUUUUACUAGAAUUUUCUAAUAUUGAGCAUUCUUCUGUUAAGCGUACCGCUACUAUCUUUUUGGCUCAUGAGUUUAGAUUUAUAAUAAAAGAGGCCAAAGAAAUCUUUACGCAUUAUAGGGUGCACGCUGGCAGUCCUCCCAUAGAGGCUAUUCUCUUUGAUCAAGAAGAAAUAAUGCGUUUUCAAUCUCUAGGCUAUGUUGCUUUCAAUGAAAAUCUUAGAAAGAGGGUUCCUACCAAUGUUCUAGUUGAUAGAAUUUCUGAACUUAAUAAUGAUUUGGCUAUUCGAAAUAAUGAGCUAGGAUAUUCUCUCAAGUAUAGGCUCACAAAAUUUUGUCAAAAGAAUGCUUAUAAUGAUGAAAUGGUUGUGCAAUAUGAAGGGCCGAAGGAGGAACCUAUACCUCCUAAAGUUGAUCUUGGGGACUUUUGUCCCAUUAAAUUUAGCACUUUUGAUUACUUUUGCUUUCCUCAAAGAAAACUUGCUGCUGAAUGUAGAGAAUAUGAAAUGAGUUUUAAUGAUCUAUCCUAUUAUUAUGGCGAUACCUAGAUCUAUCUUUGCUUUUAUGCCUAGCUAGGGGCGUUAAACGAUAGCGCUUGUUGGGAGGCAACCAAAUUGUAUUUUUAUUCCUUGCUUUUUGCUCCUGGUUAGUAAUAAAUAAUUUAUCUAGCAUCUGUUUUGGUUGUUUUUUUGUGUUUAAUUAGUGUUUGUGCCAAAUAGAACCGUUGGGAAGACUUGGGGAAAGUCUUUUUGAUCUUGCUGUAAAAAAACAGAAACUUUAGCGCUCACGAGAAUUGCUGCCAUUUUUAUUUGAAAAGUGAUAUUUAGUUAAUUAUUUUUUAAGAUGAUUAAUAGAUAAAUUUAUCACGUCCAGAAAUUUAUUUUAGAAUUUUUGGGGUUCCAGAAGUUUGCGUUAGCUACAUAUUACUACAGACUGUUCUAUUUCUGACAGAUUCUGUUUUUCGUGUGUUGUUUGCUUAUUUUGAUGAAUCUAUGGCUAGUAAAAUAGUUUAUAAACCAUAGAGAAGUUGGAAUACAGUAGGUUUACCACCAAUAUAAAUAAACAAUGAGUUCAUUACAGUACCUUGAAGUGGUGUUUUGUUUUCUUUCGCUAACGGAGCUCACGAGAUUUUCUAUUUUGAGUUUUGUGUUGUGAAGUUUUCAAGUUUUGGGUUAAGUUUUGAUGGAUUAUGGAAUAAGGAGUGGCAAGAGCCUAAGCUUGGGGAUUCCCAUGGCACCCCAAGGUAAAAUUCAAGGACACCCAAAAUCCUAAGCUUGGGGAUGCCCCGGAAGGCAUCCCCUCUUUCGUCUUCGUCUAUCGGUAACUUUACUUGGAGCUAUAUUUUUAUUCACCACAUGAUAUGUGUUUUGCUUGGAGUGUCUUGUAUGAUUUGAGUCUUUAUUUGUUAGUUUGCCACAAUCAUACUUGUUAUACACACCUUUUGAGAGAGACUCACAUGAUUUGAAAAUUAUUAGAAUACUCUAUGUGCUUCACUUAUAUCUUUUGAGUUAUAUAGUUUUUGCUCUAGUGCUUCACUUAUAUCUUUUAGAGCACGGUGGUGGAUUUGUUUUAUAGAAACUAUUGUUCUCUCAUGCUUCACUUAGAUUAUUUUGAGAGUCCUGCAAAACAGCGUGGUAGUUGCUUUAAUUAUGAUAGGCAUUCAAGAUUAGUAAAAAAAUCUUAUGAGUGUGUUGAAUACUAUGAGAAGUUUGAUACUUGAUAAUUGUUUUGAGAUAUGGAGAUGGUGAUCUUAGAGUCAUGCUAGUUGAGUAGUUGUGAAUUUUAGGAAUACUUGUGUUGAAGUUUGUGAUUCCCUUAGCAUGCACGUAUGGUGAACCGUUAUGUGACGAAAUCGGAGCAUGAUUUAUUUAUGAUUGUCUUCCUUAUGAGUGGCGGUCGGGGACGAGCGAUGGUCUUUUCCUACCAAUCUAUCCCCCUAGGAGCAUGCGUGUAAUACUUUGUUUCGAUAACUAAUAGAUUUUUGCAAUAAUUAUGUGAGUUCUUUAUGACUAAUGUUGAGUCCAUGGAUUAUAUGCACUCUCACCCUUCCAACAUUGCUAGCCUCUCUAAUACCGCACACUUUUCGCCGGUAUCAUACACCCACCAUAUACCUUCCUCAAAACAGCCACCAUACCUACCAAUCAUGGCAUUUCCAUAGCCAUUUUGAGAUAUAUAUAGCCAUACCCCCAUUUUAUGGAGAAUUAUUUUGGAAUAUUUGUGAUUUUACGGAGAAUUUUACGGAGCAACGUGGGCCCCACAAGGGUGGAGGGCGCGCCUGGGGGGUAGGCGCGCCCCCUACCUCGUGCCUUCCUGGUAGCUUUCUUGACGUAUGGUCCAAGUCCUAUGGAUUACGUUCGUUCCAAAAAUCACGUUCCCGAAGGUUUCAUUCCGUUUGAUAUUCUUUUUCUGCGAAACUCUGAAAUAGGCAAAAAACAGCAAUUCUGGGCUGGGCCUCCGGUUAAUAGGUUAGUCCCAAAAAUAAUAUAAAAGUGUAUAAUAAAGCCCAAUAAUGUCCAAAACAGAAUAUAAUAUAGCAUGGAACAAUCAAAAAUUAUAGAUACGUUGGAGACGUAUCAAGCAUCCCCAAGCUUAAUUCAUGCUCGUCCUCGAGUAGGUAAAUGAUAAAAACAGAUUUUUUGAUGUGGAAUGCUACUUGGCAUAAUUUCAAUGUAAUUCUCUUAGUUGUGGUAUGAAUAUUCAGAUCCGAAAUAUUCAAGACAAAAGUUUAAUAUUGACAUAAAAAUAAUAAUACUUCAAGCAUACUAACUAAGCAAUUAUGUCUUCUCAAAAUAACAUGGCCAAAGAAAGUUAUCCCUACAAAAUUAUAUAGUCUGGCUAUGCUCUAUCUUCACCACAUAAAGUAUUUAAAUCAUGCACAACCCCGAUGACAAGCCAAGCAAUUGUUUCAUACUUUUGGUGUUCUCAAACUUUUUCAAUCUUCACACAAUACAUGAGCGUGAGCCAUGGACAUAGCACUAUAUGUGGAAUAGAAUGGUGGUUGUGGAGAAGACAAAAAAGGAGAAGAUAGUCUCACAUCAAAUAGGCAUAUCAACGGGCUAUGGAGAUGCCCAUUAAUAGAUAUCAAUGUGAGUGAGUAGGGAUUGCCAUGCAACGGAUGCACUAGAGUUAUAAGUAUAUGAAAGCUCAACAAAAGGAACUAAGUGGGUGUGCAUCCAACUCGCUUGCUCAUGAAGACCUAGGGCAUUUUGAGGAAACCCAUCAUUGGAAUAUACAAGCCAAGUUCUAUAAUGAAAAAUCCCCACUAGUAUAUGAAAGUGAUAUCAUAGGAGACUCUCUAUCAUGAACAUCAUGGUGCUACUUUGAAGCACAAGUGUGGUAAAAGGAUAGUAGCAUUGUCCCUUCUCUCUUUUUCUCUCAUUUUUUUAUUUAGGCCUUUUCUCUUCUUUUUUUAUGGCCUCUCCAUUUUUUUGUCCGGAGUCUCAUCCCAACUUGUGGGGGAAUCAUAGUCUCCAUCAUCCUUUCCUCACUUGGGAGAAUGCUCUAAAAAUGAUGAUCAUCACACUUUUAUUUACUUACAACUCAACAAUUACAACUCAAUACUUAGAACAAAAUAUGACUCUAUGUGAAUGCCUCCGGCGGUAUACCGGGAUAUGCAAUGAAUCAAGAGUGACAUGUAUGAAAGAAUUGUGAACGGUGACUUUGCCACAAAUACAAUGUCAACUACAUGAUCAUGCAAAGCAAUAUGAUAAUGAUGGAGCGUGUCAUAGUAAACGGAAUGGUGGAAAGUUGCAUGGCAAUAUAUCUCGGAAUAGCUAUGGAAAUGCCAUGAUAGGUAGGUAUGGUGGCUGUUUUGAGGAAGGUAUAUGGUGGGUGUAUGAUACCGGCGAAAAGUGUGCGGUAUUAGAGAGGCUAGCAAUGUUGGAAGGGUGAGAGUGCGUAUAAUCCAUGGACUCAACAUUAGUCAUAAAGAACUCACAUAAUUAUUGCAAAAAUCUAUUAGUUAUCGAAACAAAGUAUUAUGUGCAUGCUCCUAGGGGGAUAGAAUUGUAGGAAAAGACCAUCGCUUGUCCACGACCGCCACUCAUAAGGAAGACAAUCAAUAAAUAAAUCAUACUCCGAUUUCGUCACAUAACGGUUCACCAUAUGUGCAUGCUACGGGAAUCACAAACUUCAACACAAGUAUUCCUAAAAUUCACAACUACUCAACUAUCAUGACUCUAAUAUCACCAUAUCCAUAUCUCAAAACAAUUAUCAAGUAUCAAACUUCUCGUAGUAUUCAACACACUCAUAAGAAUUUAUUUUUUACUAAUCUUGAAUGACUAUCAUAAUUAAAGCAAAUUACCAUGAUGUUUUGUAGGACUCUCAAAAUAAUAUAAGUGAAGCAUGAGAGAACAAUAGUUUGUAUAAAACAAAUCCACCACUGUGCUCUAAAAGAUAUAAGUGAAGCACUAGAGCAAAAACUGUAUAGCUCAAAAGAUAUAAGUGAAGCACAUAGAUUAUUCUAAUAAUUUUCAAAUCAUGUGAGUCUCUCUCAAAAGUUGUGUACAGAAAGGAUGAUUGUGGCAAAUUAACAAAUAAAGACUCAAAUAAUACAAGACGCUCCAAGCAAAACACAUAUCAUGUGGUGAAUAAAAAUAUAGCUCCAAGUAAAGUUACUGAUAGACGAAGACGAAAGAAUGGAUGCCUUCCGGGGCAUCCCCAAGCUUAGGGUUUUGGGUGUCCUUGAAUUUUACCUUUGGGUGCCAUGGGCAUCCCCAAGCUUAGGCUCUUGCCGCUCCUUGUUCCAUAAUCCAUCAAAACUUAACCCAAAACUUGAAAACUUCACAACACAAAACUCAAAAUAGAAAAUCUCGUGAGCUCCGUUAGCGAAAGAAAACAAAACACCACUUCAAGGUACUGUAAUGAACUCAUUCUUUAUUUAUAUUGGUUUUAAACCUACUGUAUUCCAACUUACCUAUGGUUUAUAAACUAUUUUACUAGCCAUAGAUUCAUCAAAAUAAGAAAACAACACAUGAAAAACAGAAUCUGUCAAAAACAGAACAGUCUGUAGUAAUAUGUAGCUAAAGGAAACUUCUGGAACCCCAAAAAUUCUAAAAUAAAUUUCUAGACGUGAGUAAUUUAUCUAUUAAUCAUCUGAAAAAAGAAUUAACUAAAUAUCACUUUCCAAAUAAAAAUGGCAGCAAUUCUCGUGAGCGCUAAAGUUUCUGUUUUUUACAGCAAGAUCAAAAAGACUUUCCCCAAGUCUUCCCAACGGUUCUACUUGUCACAAACACUAAUUAAACACAGAAAACACAACCAAAACAGAGGCUAGAUAAAUUAUUUAUUACUAACCAGGAGCAAAAAUCAAGGAAUAAAAAAUAAAAUUGGGUUGCCUCCCAACAAGCGCUAUCGUUUAACGCCCCUAGCUAGGCAUAAAAGCAAAUAUAGAUCUAGGUAUUCACAUCUUUGGUAGGCAAUCCAUAAGUGGCUCUCAUAAUAGAUUCAUAAGGUAAUUAUAUUUUCUUUCUAGGGAAGUGUUACAUGCCUUUCCUUAAUGGAAAUUGGAAUCUAAUAUUCCCUUCCUUCAUAUUAAUAAUUGCAUCAAUCGUUCUAAGGAAAGGUCUACCAAGAAUAAUAGGACAUGAAGGAUUGCAAUCUAUAUCAAGAACAAUAAAAUCUACGGGCACAUAAUUCCUAUUUGCAACAAUAAAAACAUCAUUAAUUCUUCCCAUAGGUUUCUUAAUGGUGGAAUCCGCAAGGUGCAAGUUUAAAGAGCAAUCAUCAAAAUCACGGAAACCUAGCAAAUCACACAAAGUCUUUGGAAUCGUGGAAACACUAGUACCCAAAUCACACAAAGCAUAGCAUUCAUGAUCUUUAAUUUUAAUUUUAAUAGUAGGUCCCACUCAUCAUAAAGUUUUCUAGGCAUAGAAACUUCCAACUCAAGUUUUUCUUCAUAAGAUUGCAUCAAAGCAUCAACGAUAUGUUUGGUAAAGGCUUUAUUUUGACUAUAAGCAUGUGGAGAAUUUAGCACGGAUUGCAACAAGGAAAUACAAUCUAUCAAAGAGCAAUUAUCAUAAUUAAAAUACUUGAAAUCCAAGAUAGUGGGUUCAUUAAUAUCUAGGGUUUUGAUCUCUUCAAUCCCACUUUUACCAAUUUUUGCAUCAAGAUCUAAAAACUCCGAAUUUUUGGAACGCCUUCUAGGUAAAGGUGGAUCAUAUUCAGUCCCAUUAUUAUAAAGAUUCAUAUUGCAAAACAGAGAUUUAAUAGGGGACACAUCAAUAACAUUUAGAUCUUCAUCUUUAUUUUCAUAGAAACAAGAAGAACACACUUUCACAAAACAAUCUUUCUUAGUACGCAUCCUAGCGGUUCUUUCUUUGCACUCAUCAAUGGAAAUUCUCAUGGCCUUGAGAGACUCAUUGAUAUCAUGCUUAGGUGGAAUAGAUCUAAGUUUCAAAGAAUCAACAUCAAGAGAAAUUCUAUCAACGUUCCUAGCCAAUUGAUCAACUUUAAGCAUUUUUUCUUCAAGCGAAGCAUUGAAAUUCUUUUGCGGAUUCAUAAACUCCUUAACACUAGUCUCAAAUUCAUAGGUCAUCUUAUUAAAAUUUCCAUAAGAAUUGUUGUAGGAAUUACCAUAAUUAUUAGAGGAAUUACUAGGAUACAGCCUAGGAUUAAAGUUUCCUCUAUACGCGUUGUUACCAAAAUUAUUCCUACCAAAAAAAUUCACAUCCAUAGAUUCAUUAUUAUUCUCAAUCAAAGCAGACAAAGGCAUAUCAUUAGGAUCAGAAGAAACACUUUUAUUAGCCAUCUUUCCACUCAAAACAUUAAUUUCUUCUAUCGCAUGCACUUUCUUAUUAGUAGAUCUUUCAGUGUGCCAUUGAGAAUAAUUAACCAUAAUAUUAUCUAGGAGUUUAGUAGCUUCUCCUAAAGUGAUUUCCAUAAAAGUGUCUCCUGAGGCCGAAUCUAAAAGAUUUCUAGAAGAAAAAUUCAAUCCAGCAUAAAAGUUUUGUAUAAUCAUCCACAAAUUCAAACCAUGUGUAGGGCAAUUACGUAUCAUUAAGUUCAUCCUGUCCCAAGAUUGUGCAACAUGUUCAUGAUCAAGUUGCUUAAAAUUCAUGAUAUCGUUUCUAAGAGAGAUGAUCUUAGCGGGAGGAAAAUACUUAGAGAUAAAAGCAUCUUUGCACUUAUUCCAAGAAUCAAUACUAUUUUUAGGCAAAGACGAAAACCAAGCUUUAGCACGAUCUCUAAGCGAAAAAGGAAAUAGCUUCAAUUUAACAAUAUCAUUGUCCACAUCUUUCUUCUUUUGCAUAUCACACAAGUCAACGAAUCUAUUAAGAUGGGUAGCGGCAUCUUCACUAGGAAGGUCGGUGAAUUGAUCUUUCAGGACAAGAUUCAACAAAGCAGCAUUAAUUUCACAAGAUUCGGUAUCGGUAAGAGGAGCAAUCGGAGUGCUAAGGAAAUCAUUGUUGUUGGUAUUAGUAAAGUCACACAAUUUGGUAUUAUCUUGAGCCAUCAUUACAAGCAAGCAAUCCAACACACGAGAAAACAAGAAGCGAGCGAAAAAGAGGCGAACAGAAAAGAGAGAGGGCGAAUAAAAUGGCAAGGGUGAAGUGGGGGAGAGGAAAACGAGAGGCAAAUGGCAAAUAAUGUAAUGUGGGAGAUAAGGGUUUGUGAUGGGUACUUGGUAUGUUGACUUUUGCGUAGACUCCCCGGCAACGGCGCCAGAAAUCCUUCUUGCUACCUCUUGAGCACUGCGUUGGUUUCCCUUGAAGAGGAAAGGGUGAUGCAGCAAAGUAGCGUAAGUAUUUCCCUCAGUUUUUGAGAACCAAGGUAUCAAUCCAGUAGGAGGCCACGCACGAGUCCCUCGCACCUACACAAACAAAUAAAAUCCUCACAACCAACACAAUAAAUGGGUUGUCAAUCCCUUCAUGGUCACUUACGAAAGUGAGAUCUGGUAGAUAUGAUAAGAUAAUAUUUUUUGUAUUUUUAUGAUAAAGAUGCAAAGUAAAUAAAGUGAAAUAAAAACGGCACCAGAAAUAGCUUGUUAACGGGAGAUUAAUAUGAUGGAAAAUAGACCCGGGGGGCAUAGGUUUCACUAGUGGCUUCUCUCGAGAGCAUAAGUAUUACGGUGGGUAAACAAAUUACUGUUGAGCUAUUGACAGAAUUGAGCAUAGUUAUGAGAAUAUCUAGGUAUGAUCAUGUAUAUAGGCAUCACGCCCAAGACAAGUAGACCGACUUUUGCCUGCAUCUACUACUAUUACUCCACACAUCGACCGCUAUCCAGCAUGCAUCUAGAGUAUUAAGUUCAAAAGAAUAGAGUAACACUUUAAGUAAGAUGACAUGAUCUAGAGGGAUAAACUCAUGCAAUAUGAUAUAAACCCCAUCUUGUUAUCCUCGAUGGCAACAAUACAAUAUGUGCCUUGCUGCCCCUACUGUCACUGGGAAAGGACACCGCAAGUUUGAACCCAAAGCUAAGCACUUCUCCCAUUGCAAGAAAGAUCAAUCUAGUAGGCCAAACCAAACUGAUAAUUCGAAGAGACUUGCAAAGAUAACCAAUCAUACAUAAAAGAAUUCAGAGAAGAUUCAAAUAGUGUUCAUAGAUCAACUUGAUCAUAAACCCACAAUUCAUCGGUCUCAACAAACACACCGCAAAAGAAGAUUACAUUGAAUAGAUCUCCACGAGAAUCAUGGAGAACUUUGUAUUGAGAUCCAAAGAGAGAGAAGCAGCCAUCUAGCUAAUAACUAUGGACCCGAAGGUCUAAGGUAAACUACUCACACAUCAUCGGAGAGGCUAUGGUGUUGAUGUAGAAGCCCUCCGUGAUCGAUGCCCCCUCCGGCGGAGCUCUGGAAAAGGCCCCAAGAUGGGAUCUCACGGGUACAGAAGGUUGCGGCGGUGGAAUUAGGUUUUUGGCUCCGUAUCCGGUAGUUUGGGGGUACGUAGGUAUAUAUAGGAGGAAGAAGUACGUCGGUGGUGUUGGGGAACGUAGUAAUUUCAAAAAAUUUCCUACGCACACGCAAGAUCAUGGUGAUGAUAUAGCAACGAGGGGAGAGUGUUGUCUACGUACCCUCGUAGACCGAAGCGGAAGCGUUGACUCAACGUAGAGGAAGUAGUUGUACGUCCUCCGGUUCAACCGAUCCAAGUACCGUUACUCCGGCACCUCCGAGUUCUUGACACGCGUACAGCUCGAUGACGCACCCUCGAUCUCCGAUCCAGCAGAGGCGCCGAGGGGGAGUUCCGUCAGCACGACGGCGUGGUGACGAUCUUGAUGUUCUCCUGUUGCAGGGCUUCGCCUAAGCACCGCUACAAUAUGACCGAGGUGUAAUAUCGUGGAGGGGGGCACCGCACACGGCUAAGGAACGAUCAAUGAUCAACUUGUGUGUUCUAGGGUGCCCCCCUACCCCCGUAUAUAAAGGAGGGAGGGAGGAGGUGGCCGGCCCUAGGGGGGUGCGCCAUGAGGAGGGGGAAACCUACUCCAAGUAGGUUUCCCUCUCUUUUCCUUAUCUUAUUUGGAGGGGGAAGGAAAGAGUACUAGUAUUAGGAAGUAGUACUAGUAGUAGUAAUAGGAAGAGGGGGAAGGAGAAAGGAAAGGGGGGCCGGCCCCCCUCCCCAAUUCGGAUUGGGCUUGGGGGCGCGCGCCCCCUUCCCUUGCUCCUUCUCUCUUCCUCCUACAUGGGCCCAAUAAGGCCCAUAUACCUCCCGGGGGGUUCCGGUAACCUUCCGGGGCUCCAAACUUCUCCGGAACCUUUCCGGUGUCCAAAUAUAUCCGUCCAAUAUAUCAAUCUUUAUGUCUCGACCAUUUCGAGACUCCUCGUCAUGUCCGUAAUCAUAUCCGGGACUCCGAACAACCUUCGGUACAUCAAAAUACAUAAACUCAUAAUAUAACUGUCAUCGAAACCUUAAGCGUGCGGACCCUACGGUUCGAGAACGAUGUAGACAUGACUGAGACACAUCUCUGGUCAAUAGCCAAUAGCGGGACCUGGAUGCCCAUAUUGGUUCCUACAUAUUCUACAAAGAUCUUUAUCGGUCAAACCGCAUAACAACAUACGGACUUGUUCCCUUUGUCAUCGGUAUGUUACUUGUCCGAGAUUCGAUCGUCGGUAUCCAAUACCUAGUUCAAUCUCGUUAUCGACAAGUCUCUUUACUCGUUCUUUAAUACUUCAUCUUAUAACUAACUCAUUAGUUACAUGCUUGCAAGGCUUAGGUGAUGAGUAUUGCCGAGAGGGCCCAGAGAUACCUCUCCGACAAUCGGAGUGACAAAACCUAAUCUCGAAUUAUGCUAACUCAACAUGUACCUUCGGAGACACCUGUAGUACUCCUUUAUAAUCACCCAGUUACGUUGUGACGUUUGGUAGUACCCAAAGUGUUCCUCCGGUAAACGGGAGUUACACAAUUCUCAUAGUUACAGGAACAUGUAUAAGUCAUGAAGGAAGCAAUAGCAGAAUACUAAACGAUCAAGUGCUAAGCUAACGGGAUGGGUCAUGUCAAUCACCUCAUUCUCCUAAUGAUGUGAUCCCAUUAAUCAAAUGACAACACAUGUCAAUGGUUAGGAAACAUAACCAUCUUUGAUUAAUGAGCUAGUCAAGUAGAGGCAUACUAGUGACUAUAUGUUUGUCUAUGUAUUCACACAUGUAUCAUGUUUCCGGUUAAUACAAUUCUAGCAUGAAUAAUAAACAUUUAUCAUGAUAUGAGGAAAUAAAUAAUAAAUUUAUUAUUGCCUCUAGGGCAUAUUUCCUUCAGUCUCCCACUUGCACUAGAGUCAAUAAUCUAGAUUACAUAGUAAUGAUUCUAACACCCAUGGAGUCUUGGUGCUGAUCAUGUUUUGCUUGUGAGAGAGGCUUAGUCAACGGGUCUGCAACAUUCAGAUCCGUAUGUAUCUUGCAAAUCUCUAUGUCUCCCACUUGGACUUGGUCCCGAAUGGAAUUGAAGCGUCUCUUGAUGUGCUUGGUCCUCUUGUGAAAUCUGGAUUCCUUUGCCAAGGCAAUUGCACCAGUAUUGUCACAGAAGAUCUUCAUUGGUCCCGAUGCACUAGGUAUGACACCUAGAUCGGAAAUGAACUCCUUCAUCCAGACUCCUUCAUUUGCUGCUUCAGAAGUAGCUAUGUACUCCGCUUCACAUGUAGAUCCUGCCACGAUGCUUUGUUUAGAACUGCACCAACUUACAGCUCCAUCGUUUAAUAAAAACACGUAUCCGGUCUGCGAUUUAGAAUCGUCCGGAUCAGUGUCAAAGCUUGCAUCGACGUAACCAUUUACGACUAGCUCUUUGUCACCUCCAUAUACGAGAAACAUAUCCUUAGUCCUUUUCAGGUAUUUCAGGAUGUUCUUGACCGCUGUCCAGUGAUCCACUCCUGGAUUACUUUGGUACCUACCUGCCAAGCUUAUUGCUAAGCAUACGUCAGGUCUGGUACACAGCAUUGCAUACAUGAUAGAGCCUAUGGCUGAAGCAUAGGGAACAUCUUUCAUUUUCUCUCUAUCUUCUGCUGUGGUCGGGCAUUGAGUUUGACUCAACUUCACACCUUGUAGCACAGGCAAGAAUCCUUUCUUUGCCUGAUCCAUUUUGAACUUUUUCAAAAUUUUGUCAAGGUAUGUACUUUGUGAAAGUCCUAUUAAGCGUCUUGAUCUAUCUCUAUAGAUCUUGAUGCCCAAUAUGUAAGCAGCUUCACCGAGGUCUUUCAUAGAAAAACUUUUAUUCAAGUAUCCCUUUAUGCUCUCCAGAAAUUCUAUAUCAUUUCCAAUUAAUAAUAUGUCAUCAACAUAUAAAACUAGAAAUGCUACAGAGCUCCCACUCACUUUCUUGUAAAUACAGGCUUCUCCAAAAGUCUGUACAAAGCCAUAUGCUUUGAUCACACUAUCAAAACGUUUAUUCCAACUCCGAGAUGCUUGCACCAGUCCAUAAAUGGAACGUUGGAGCUUGCACACUUUGUCAGCACCUUUUGGAUCAACAAAACCUUCAGGUUGCAUCAUAUACAACUCUUCUUCUAGAAAUCCAUUCAAGAAUGCAGUCUUGACAUCCAUUUGCCAAAUUUCAUAAUCAUGAAAUGCAGCAAUAGCCAACAUGAUUCAGACAGACUUAAGCAUCGCUACGGGUGAGAAAGUCUCAUCGUAGUCAACCCCUUGAACUUGUCGAAAACCUUUUGCAGCAAGUCGAGCUUUGUAGACAGUAACAUUACCAUCAGCGUCAGUCUUCUUCUUAAAGAUCCAUUUAUUCUCAAUGGCUUGCCGAUCAUCGGGCAAGUCAACCAAAGUCCAUACUUUGUUUUCAUACAUGGAUCCUAUCUCAGAUUUCAUGGCCUCUAGCCAUUUUGCGGAAUCUGGGCUCAUCAUCGCUUCCUCAUAGUUCGUAGGUUCAUCAUGGUCUAGGAACAUGACUUCCAGAAUAGGAUUUCCGUACCACUCUGGUGCGGAUCUUACUCUGGUAGACCUACGAGGUUCAGUAGAAACUUGAUCUGAAGUUUCAUGAUCAAUAUCAUUAGCUUCCUCACUAAUUGGUGUAGUUGUCACAGGAACCGGUUCUUGUGAUGAACUACUUUCCAAUAAGGGAGUAGAUAUAGUUAUCUCAUCAAGUUCUACUUUCCUCCCACUCACUUCUUUUGAGAGAAGCUCCUUCUCUAGAAAGGAUCCGAUUUUAGCAACGAAAAUCUUGCCUUCAGAUCUGUGAUAGAAGGUGUACCCAAUUGUCUCCUUUGGGUAUCCUAUGAAGACACAUUUCUCCGAUUUGGGUUCGAGCUUAUCUGGUUGAAGUUUCUUCACAUAAGCAUCGCAGCCCCAAACUUUGAGAAACGACAACUUUGGUUUCUUGCCAAACCACAGUUCAUAAGGCGUCGUCUCAACGGAUUUUGAUGGUGCCCUAUUUAACGUGAAUGCGGCCGUCUCUAAAGCAUAACCCCAAAACGAUAGCGGUAAAUCGGUAAGAGACAUCAUAGAUCGCACCAUAUCAAGUAAAGUACGAUUACGACGUUCGGACACACCAUUUCGCUGUGGUGUUCCAGGUGGCGUGAGUUGCGAAACUAUUCCACAUUGUUUCAAAUGUAAACCAAACUCGUAACUCAAAUAUUCUCCUCCAUGAUCAGAUCGUAGAAACUUUAUUUUCUUGUUACGAUGAUUUUCUACUUCACUCUGAAAUUCUUUGAACUUUUCAAAUGUUUCAGACUUGUGCUUCAUCAAGUAGAUAUACCCAUAUCUGCUCAAAUCAUCUGUGAAGGUGAGGAAAUAACGAUACCCGCCACGAGCCUCAACAUUCAUCGGACCACAUACAUCUGUAUGUAUGGUUUCCAAUAAAUCUGUUGCUCUCUCCAUAGAUCCGGAGAACGGUGUUUUUGUCAUCUUGCCCAUGAGGCACAGUUCGCAAGUACCAAGUGAUUCAUAAUCAAGUGAUUCCAGAAGUCCAUUAGUAUGGAGUUUCUUCAUGCGUUUUACACCGAUAUGACCUAAACGGCAGUGCCACAAAUAUGUUGCACUAUCAUUAUCAACUCUGCAUCUUUUGGCUUCAACAUUAUGAAUAUGUGUAUCACUACUAUCGAGAUUUAAUAAAAAUAGACCACUCUUCAAGGGUGCAUGACCAUAAAAGAUAUUACUCAUAUAAAUAGAACAACCAUUAUUCUCUGAUUUAAAUGAAUAACCGUCUCGCAUCAAACAAGAUCCAGAUAUAAUGUUCAUGCUCAACGCAGGCACCAAAUAACAAUUAUUCAGGUCUAAAACUAAUCCCGAUGGUAGAUGUAGAGGUAGCGUGCCUGCCGCGAUCACAUCGACUUUGGAACCAUUUCCCACGCGCAUCGUCACCUCGUCCUUAGCUAAUCUUCGCUUAAUCCGUAGUCCCUGUUUCGAGUUGCAAAUGUUAGCAACAGAACUAGUAUCAAAUACCCAGGUGCUACUGCGAGCAUUAGCAAGGUACACAUCAAUAACAUGUAUAUCACAUAUACCUUUGUUCACUUUGCCAUCCUUCUUAUCCGCCAAAUACUUGGGGCAGUUCCGCUUCCAGUGUCCAGUCUGCUUGCAGUAGAAGCACUCAGUUUCAGGCUUAGGUCCAGACUUGGGUUUCUUCACUUGAGCAGCAACUUGUUUGUCGUUCCUUUUGAAGUUCCCCUUCUUCUUCCCUUUGCCCCUUUUCUUGAAACCAGUGGUCUUGUUGACCAUCAACACUUGAUGCUCCUUUUUGAUUUCUACCUCCGCGGCUUUCAGCAUCGCGAAGAGCUCGAGAAUAGUCUUGUUCAUCCCUUGCAUAUUAUAGUUCAUCACAAAGCUCUUGUAUCUUGGUGGCAGUGAUUGGAGAAUUCUGUCAAUGACGCUAUCAUCCGGAAGAUUAACUCCCAGUUGAAUCAAGUGAUUAUUAUACCCAGACAUUUUGAGUAUAUGCUCACUGACAGAACUGUUCUCCUCCAUCUUGCAGCUGUAGAACUUAUUGGAGACUUCAUAUCUCUCAAUCCGGGCAUUUGCUUGAAAUAUUAACUUCAACUCCUGGAACAUCUCAUAUGCCCCAUGACGUUCAAAACGUCGUUGAAGACCCGGUUCUAAGCCGUAAAGCAUGGCACACUGAACUAUAGAGUAGUCAUCAGCUUUGCUCUGCCAGACGUUCUUAACGUUGUCAGUUGCAUCAGCAGCAGGCCUGGCACCCAGCGGUGCUUCCAGGACGUAACUCUUCUGUGCAGCAAUGAGGAUAAUCCUCAGGUUACGGACCCAGUCCGUGUAAUUGCUACCAUCAUCUUUCAACUUUGCUUUCUCAAGGAACGCAUUAAAAUUCAACGGAACAAUAGCACGAGCCAUCUAUCUACAAACAAACAUAGACAAGAAAAAUACUAUCAGGUACUAAGUUCAUGAUAAAUUUAAGUUCAAUUAAUCAUAUUACUAAAGAACUCCCACUUAGACAGACAUCUCUCUAGUCAUCUAAGUGAUUACGUGAUCCAAAUCAACUAAACCAUGUCCGAUCAUCACGUGAGAUGGAGUAGUUUCAAUGGUGAACAUCUCUAUGUUGAUCAUAUCUACUAUAUGAUUCACGCUCGACCUUUAGGUCCCCGUGUUCCGAGGCCAUAUCUGUAUAUGCUAGGCUCGUCAAGUAUAACCUGAGUAUUCCGCGUGUGCAACUGUUUUGCACCCGUUGUAUUUGAACGUAGAGCCUAUCACACCCGAUCAUCACGUGGUGUCUCAGCACGAAGAACUUUCGCAACGGUGCAUACUCAGGGAGAACACUUCUUGAUAAUUAGUGAGAGAUCAUCUUAAAAUGCUACCGUCAAUCAAAGCAAGAUAAGAUGCAUAAAGGAUAAACAUCACAUGCAAUCAAUAUAAGUGAUAUGAUAUGGCCAUCAUCAUCUUGUGCUUGUGAUCUCCAUCUUCGAAGCACCGUCGUGAUCACCAUCGUCACCGGCGUGACACCUUGAUCUCCAUUGUAGCAUCGUUGUCGUUACGCCAUCUAUUGCUUCUACGACUAUCGCUACCGCUUAGUGAUAAAGUAAAGCAAUUACAGGGCGUUUGCAUUUCAUACAAUAAAGCGACAACCAUAUGGCUCCUGCCAGUUGCCGAUAACUUCGGUUACAAAACAUGAUCAUCUCAUACAAUAAAAUAUAGCAUCAUGUCUUGGCCAUAUCACAUCACAACAUGCCCUGCAAAAACAAGUUAGACGUCCUCUACUUUGUUGUUGCAAAUUUUACGUGGCUGCUACGGGCUUAAGCAAGAACCAAUCUCACCUACGCAUCAAAACCACAACGAUAGUUUGUCAAAUAGACUCCGUUUUAACCUUCACAAGGACCGGGCGUAGCCACACUCGGUUCAACUAAAGUGAGAGAGACAGACACCCGCCAGCCACCUUUAAGCACGAGUGCUCGUAAUGGUGAAACCAGUCUCGCGUAAGCGUACGCGUAAUGUCGGUCCGGGCCGCUUCAUCUCACAAUACCGCUGAACCAAAGUAUGACAUGCUGGUAGGCAGUAUGACUUAUAUCGUCCACAACUUACUUGUGUUCUACUCGUGCAUAUAACAUCAACACAUAAAACCUAGGCUCGGAUGCCACUGUUGGGGAACGUAGUAAUUUCAAAAAAAUUCCUACGCACACGCAAGAUCAUGGUGAUGAUAUAGCAACGAGGGGAGAGUGUUGUCUACGUACCCUCGUAGACCGAAGCGGAAGCGUUGACUCAACGUAGAGGAAGUAGUCGUACGUCCUCCGGUUCAACCGAUCCAAGUACCGUUACUCCGGCACCUCCGAGUUCUUGACACGCGUACAGCUCGAUGACGCACCCUCGAUCUCCGAUCCAGCAGAGGCGCCGAGGGGGAGUUCCGUCAGCACGACGGCGUGGUGACGAUCUUGAUGUUCUCCUGUUGCAGGGCUUCGCCUAAGCACCGCUACAAUAUGACCGAGGUGUAAUAUCAUGGAGGGGGGCACCGCACACGGCUAAGGAACGAUCAAUGAUCAACUUGUGUGUUCUAGGGUGCCCCCCUACCCCCGUAUAUAAAGGAGGGAGGGAGGAGGUGGCCGGCCCUAGGGGGGCGCGCCAUGAGGAGGGGGAAACCUACUCCAAGUAGGUUUCCCUCUCUUUUCCUUAUCUUAUUUGGAGGGGGGAGGAAAGAGUACUAGUAUUAGGAAGUAGUACUAGUAGUAGUAAUAGGAAGAGGGGGAAGGAGAAAGGAAAGGGGGGGCCGGCCCCCCUGCCCAAUUCGGAUUGGGCUUGGGGGGGCGCACCCCCUUCCCUUGCUCCUUCUCUCUUCCUCCUACAUGGGCCCAAUAAGGCCCAUAUACCUCCCGGGGGGUUUCGGUAACCUUCCGGGGCUCCAAACUUCUCUGGAACCUUUCCGGUGUCCAAAUAUAUCCGUCCAAUAUAUCAAUCUUUAUGUCUCGACCAUUUCGAGACUCCUCGUCAUGUCUGUAAUCAUAUCCGGGACUCCGAACAACCUUCGGUACAUCAAAAGACAUAAACUCAUAAUAUAACUGUCAUCGAAACCUUAAGCGUGCGGACCCUACGGUUCGAGAACGAUGUAGACAUGACUGAGACACAUCUCUGGUCAAUAACCAAUAGCGGGACCUGGAUGCCCAUAUUGGUUCCUACAUAUUCUACGAAGAUCUUUAUCGGUCAAACCGCAUAACAACAUACGUUGUUCCCUUUGUCAUCGGUAUGUUACUUGUCCGAGAUUCGAUCGUCGGUAUCCAAUACCUAGUUCAAUCUCGUUAUCGACAAGUCUCUUUACUUGUUCUGUAAUACUUCAUCUUAUAACUAACUCAUUAGUUACAUGCUUGCAAGGCUUAGGUGAUGAGUAUUGCCGAGAGGGCCCAGAGAUACCUCUCCGACAAUCGGAGUGACAAAACCUAAUCUCGAAUUAUGCUAACUCAACAUGUACCUUCGGAGACACCUGUAGUACUCCUUUAUAAUCACCCAGUUACGUUGUGACGUUUGGUAGUACCCAAAGUGUUCCUCCGGUAAACGGGAGUUACACAAUUCUCAUAGUUACAGGAACAUGUAUAAGUCAUGAAGGAAGCAAUAGCAGAAUACUAAACGAUCAAGUGCUAAGCUAACGGGAUGGGUCAUGUCAAUCACCUCAUUCUCCUAAUGAUUUGAUCCCAUUAAUCAAAUGACAACACAUGUCAAUGGUUAGGAAACAUAACCAUCUUUGAUUAAUGAGCUAGUCAAGUAGAGGCAUACUAGUGACUAUAUGUUUGUCUAUGUAUUCACACAUGUAUCAUGUUUCCGGUUAAUACAAUUCUAGCAUGAAUAAUAAACAUUUAUCAUGAUAUGAGGAAAUAAAUAAUAACUUUAUUAUUGCCUCUAGGGCAUAUUUCCUUCAGGUGGAACAACGUGGGCCCCAUGAGGGUGGACGGCGCGCCUGGGGGGGGGGGGUAGGUGCGCCCCCUACCUCGUGCCUUCCUCGUAGCUUUCUUGACGUAUGGUCCAAGUCCUCUGGAUGACGUUCAUUCCAAGAAUCACGUUCCCGAAGGUCUCAUUCCGUUUGGACUCCGUUUGAUAUUCUUUUUCUGCGAAACUCUGGAAUAGGCAAAAAACAGCAAUUCUGGGCUGGGCCUCCGGUUAAUAGGUUAGUCCCAAAAAUAAUAUAAAAGUGUAUAAUAAAGCCCAAUAAUGUCCAAAACAGAAUAUAAUAUAGCAUGGAACAAUCAAAAAUUAUAGAUACAUUGGAGACAUAUCAAUAGCACCUCAAUGUACUAGUGUAGGUAGAAUGGAUCAGAAUAGGGAGAUAGUAUGAAGCCAACUAUGCAAUCAGAGAGAAUGUCUUCACACAGUGAAGUCAAACAGAGCAAACAAGCAAUGACUUCAGGAAGCUAAACAGUAAGUAAGGGUGAAGUUAUAGAACCAGUAGCUUGACGAAGACAGUGAUUUGGUAGACCAUCUCGAGUUGUUGUGACAACUAUACGUCUGGUUAGGGAGGCUAAGAUUGAACUCAAAAGACCACGUCUUCACCUUAUUCCCCUUGAGCUAAGGACACUUAGUCCUCGGCCAAUCACUCUGGUAAGUCUUCAAGGUAGACUUCCAAACCUUCACAGAUUUCGUUCACCAGCGAUCCACAAUGACUCUUGGAUCCUCAGAACAUGACGCCUGAUACGUCUCCAAUGUAUCUACUUUUUCUCACGCUUUUCCUCUUGUUUUGGACUCUAAUUUGCAUGAUUUGAAUGAAACUAACCCCGGACUGACAUUUUUUUAGCAAAACUACCAUGGUGUUGUUUUUGUGCAGAAAUAAAAAUUCUCGGAAUGGAACAAAUCUUUUUGAGGAAUUUUUAUAUCAGUAAUAAUAAUUUCUAGAGCCAAGACCUACCGGAGAGGGGCCCCUGGGUGGGCACAACCCACCAGGGCGCGCCCCCCUCUCCUGGCCCCACUGACGACCCCCCUGAUACUAUAAAAUCACAUAUUUCCAUAAAAAACCAGGGAGAAAGAAUUAUCGCGAUCCAUGAGACGGAGCCGCCGCCAAGCCCUGUUCUUCCUCGGGAGGGCAGAUCUGGAGUCUGUUGGGGGCUCCGAAGAGGGGGAUCUUCGUUCUUCGUCAUCACCAACCCUUCUCCAUCGCCAAUUCCAUGAUGCUCCCCACCACGAGUGAGUAAUUCCUUUGUAGGCUCGCUGGUCGGUGAGGAGUUGGAUGAGAUUCAUCAUGUAAUUGAGUUAGUUUUGUUAGGGCCUGAUCCCUAGUAUCCACUAUGUUCCUAGAUUGAUGUUGCUAUGACUUUGCCAUGCUUAAUGCUUUCCACUUUGGGCCCGGGUGCCAUGAUUUCAGAUCUGAACCAUUUAUGAAUUCAUCAUUAUAUCCAUGUUCUAGAUCCGAUCUUGCAAGUUAUAGUCACCUACUACGUGUUAUGUGUUGGGGAACGUAGUAAUUUCAAAAAAAUUCCUACGCACACGCAAGAUCAUGGUGAUGCAUAGCAACAGGAGGGGAGAGUGUUGUCCACGUACCCUCGUAGACCGAAAGCGGAAGCGUUAGCACAACGCGGUUGAUGUAGUCGUACGUCUUCACGAUCCGACCGAUCAAGUACCGAACGCACGGCACCUCCGAGUCCAGCACACGUUCAGCCCGAUGACGUCCCUCGAACUCCGAUCCAGCCGAGUGUUGAGGGAGAGUUUCGUCAGCACGACGGCGUGGUGACGAUGAUGAUGUUCUACUGACGCAGGGCUUCGCCUAAGUACCGCUACAGUAUUAUCGAGGUGGACUAUGGUGGAGGGGGGCACCGCACAUGGCUAAAAGAUCAAAUCAGUUGUUGUGUCUAUGGGGUGCCCUCCUGCACUUGUAUAUAAAGGAGCAAGGGGGAGGUGCGUCCGGCCAGGAGGAGGUGCGCCAGGAGGAGUCCUACUCCCACCGGGAGUAGGACUCCCUCCCUUCCUUGUUGUCUUAGGAGAAGGGGGGAAAGAGGAGGGAGAGAGGAAGGAAAAGGGGGGCGCCGCGCCCCUCUCCUUGUCCUAUUCGGACUAGAGGGGGAGGGGCGCACGGCCCUGCCCUAGCCGCCUCUCCUCUUCUCCACGAAGGCCCACUAUGGCCCAUUAAGCCCCCGGGGGGUUCUGGUAACCCCUCGGUACUCCGGUAAAAUCCUGAUUUCACGCGGAACAUUUCCGAUAUCCAAAUAUAGGCUUCCAAUAUAUCAAUCUUCAUGUCUCGACCAUUUCGAGACUCCUCGUCAUGUCCGUGAUCACAUCCGGGACUCCGAACAACCUUCGGUACAUCAAAACUCAUAAACUCAUAAUAUAACCGUCAUCGAAACUUUAAGCGUGCGGACCCUACGGGUUUGAGAACUAUGUAGAUAUGACCGAGACACGUCUCCGGUCAAUAACCAAUAGCGGAACCUGGAUGCUCAUAUUGGCUCCCACAUAUUCUACGAAGAUCUUUAUCAGUCAGACCGCAUAACAACAUACGUUGUUCCCUUUGUCAUCGGUAUGUUACUUGCCCGAGAUUCGAUCGUCGGUAUCUCAAUACCUAGUUCAAUCCCGUUACUGGCAAGUCUCCUUACUCGUUCCGUAAUACAUCAUCCCGCAACUAACUCAUUAGUUGCAAUGCUUGCAAGGCUUAAGUGAUGUGUAUUACCGAGUGGGCCCAGAGAUACCUCUCCGACAAUCAGAGUGACAAAUCCUAAUCUCGAAAUACGCCAACCCAACAAGUACCUUCGGAGACACCUGUAGAGCACCUUUAUAAUCACCCAGUUACGUUGUGAUGUUUGGUAGCACACAAAGUGUUCCUCCGAUAAAUGGGAGUUGCAUAAUCUCAUAGUCAUAGGGACAUGUAUAAGUCAUGAAGAAAGCAAUAGCAACAUACUAAACGAUCGAGUUCUAAGCUAACGGAAUGGGUCAAGUCAAUCACAUCAUUCUCCUAAUGAUGUGAUCCCGUUAAUCAAAUGACAACUCAUGUCUAUGGCUAGGAAACAUAACCAUCUUUGAUCAACGAGCUAGUCAAGUAGAGGCAUACUAGUGACACUCUGUUUGUCUAUGUGUUCACACAAAUAUUAUGUUUCCGGUUAAUACAAUUCUAGCAUGAAUAAUAAACAUUUAUCAUGAUAUAAGGAAACUUUAUUAUUGCCUCUAGGGCAUAUUUCCUUCAGUAUGAUCCGGCAACCCAGGUGUGACAAUAACCGGGCCCACUCCCGGUGAUGACCGUAGUUUGAGGAGUUCAUGUAUUCACUAUGUGUUAAUGCUCUGUUCCAGUUCUCUAUUAAAAGGAGGCCUUAAUAUCCCUUAGUUUCCAAUAUGGACCCUGCUGCCACGGGAGGGUAGGACAAAAGAUGUCAUGCAAGUUCUUUUAAUAAAGCACGUAUGACUACUUACGGAAUACAUUCCUACAUUAUAUCGAUGAACUGGAGCUAGUGCCUUAUCACCCUAGGUUAUAACUGUCUCAUGAUGAAUAUCAUCCAACAAGUCACCGAUCCAAUGCCUAUGAACUUUUCCAUAUCGUUUCUUCUAAGUUACUACUGCUAUCAUCAUUGUUACACUUGCUACAAAAUUAUUGUUACUAUUGUUGUUGUCACUACUAUCAAAACUAUGAAACUACUUUGCUACUGGUCACUUUCCUGCAGAUAAUUAAUCUCCAUGUGUGAUUGAAUUGACAACUCAGCUACUAAUACCUUCGAAUAUUAUUUGGCUCCCCUUGUGUCGAAUCUAUAAAUUUGGGUUGAAUACUUUACGCUCGAAAACUGUUGCAAUCACCUAUACUUGUGGGUUAUCAACGCCUAACUGGCUGGAGGAUGCACAGUCCUCAAAUAUAAUAAGUCUUCAGAUCACUCAGACAGAAAGACUUCAGUGAUGCGAAACACUCUUUGGCUCUGGGUGUUUUGGGCAUUUUCCUCGCAAGGUUUAUCUCUCAAAGGCUUCAGAGGUGGGUUGCUCUCAAACGACAAAAUUCGUGCACUAACUCUGAGCAGCCACCAAUUUCUGGUGUAUGGGGUGGGCUAUUUUUAGCCAGGAGGCAAACCGACCUGAUAUGUCUGAAAUGACCCUGGUUCACUAAGGAACCGACACGUGUCCAACGGUCGGAUUUCAAACACACACGGUAGCUUGACUUGGGCUACAAGUAAAGCUGACUCAUCCAACUAUGGAUAAGCUUUGAUCUCAUUGUCUUCGCUCGAAAACAUAGGAUUUGGGUUGAGCAUCAUGUCACUCUUCCGACUUUGUUCACCUGGACCCCACUUAACAGUUCGGUGGUUCCUAUGACUCAACAAAAAAUAAAAUGAAACUACAAAAGAAAUUAUGUCUCCGCACUCCAUAGUCUUCAAGUGAAUGUAUUCACACGUCAUUAUCUUCAAUGUGAAUGUCUUCAUGAACCACCAUUGUCUUUAAUGUCUUCAUACAUUUUUAGGGGUCGUCACUGAUAGGUAAACUGAAUCAAUGAGAGACUUCUACAUGUGUUAUCCUGCAAUUGUCACAAACACAUUAGUCCCUCAACCACGUUUGUUGUCAAUACUCCAAAACCAACUAGGGGUGGUACUAGAUGCACUUACACAACUCAAUAUGAUCGUUCUUCCAACGUCAUGUUCUCAAAGUUGUUUUUGGACUAUCAUUACACUUAACGAUAUCCCAAGAUCCAGAAAACGUGAUCACAAACGACACUUGAGCUAGUCCUAGAGGUAAUACUAGGAAUCAGGUUUUACCGUUUAUCAUUCUACACAUGCAUAUGAGUUUUCUAUUGAAUCACAUAUUCCAUGAUCAUAAUAAUUAUAACAUAGAAUAUAAACUCUUAAUUAUAACUGUGGAAAUAAAUAAUACAAUAUUAUUGCCUCUAGGGCAUAUUUCCAACAGACGAGCAUGGCAGACGACUAGGACUUGGACAUUGUGGCGGACGCGGAACACGUCUCCUUCCCCCACCCUGGUAGAAGGCAUGCAUGAAGACGGUGUCGACGAUAGCCAUGAUGAAGAAGACACUCAGGAUGCGCAGUGAUCUCUCAUGGCGGGGCGUUGCGUAGACUAUGGUAGCGGCUACGGGCAGGGGAGCUCCCCUUCCUUGUGUCUGUUGGCUGAUGUGGGUGAUCGCGGUGGCGUGCGCCGUGACGACAUUCAUGCUGACGGUGGGCGGCUGUGCGAGCGAGAUGCGUGGAAAGAUGUCGCACCCAUCUGCUAGUGCAAUUUCGGCCUAGUGUGGAGUAUAGGGUCCGUGACUGCCGGAGAUCCAUCUUCAACAUGAUGAUUGGAACACCACUUCAUGUCCAGGGUGAAAGCUCUUAUUCUGCCUUUGAUUGGUUGGAGUUGCGACAAAUUUGCGGUGUUAUCUUCUUGAAGGCAUUGUCUCCUCGCUGAAGUUCUAACCUUCGUUGUUUGGUCUCGACAAAGAGGAUGACAUCCUUGUCUUUGACGUUUUCGUCCGGACGUGGCGACGGGGCACGAAUGGCGCUUAUUCCUUCUUGAACGUGUUGUCGCAAAAAAAAAGUGUCAUAUGUGUCCAUUUCAUUUAUCUUGUAAUUGUUUAGCCGUUGUUGCCUUUGUUCGGUACCCUAAUUAAUAUAAUAAUUAAUAAAUAUGACUGUGUGCAUCAUAAUGAUAUAAAGACAGGAGGUUAAUUUUUUUUUUUGAAAAAAGGACCAUAUUGCUCUUCUUUUUUUAAAGUAUGAGGAAUGUGUAUAGUGUCAAAAAUACUUUUAUAUGGAACAGAGAGAGUAGCUUGUUACCCUUAGGUAGCUGGUGUAGAAUGAAAGCCACGAAAAUAAAGGGAAAACAGGGCACACACCAACCCUGCACAUGUUGUGUGCAACAUGGUUUCUUUAUUCCGGGCUUUCUCUUCGUUUGAAGCAUUGUGCUAUGUGCAUUUGGGAGCUCCCUAAAUAACACUGUAUAUAAACAACACACACAGACACAGACUGAGAGACAGACAAGAGUCGCACACCAGAGAGCACGGAGGGAGAAGACCGACAGCGGCAGUGGCCAGCUAGUCAGGGAAGGCCAGCCAUGGCGAGCGGGCCGAACGGGGGAGGCAAUGGCGGCGGCGGCGGCGGCGGGCUGAUGAAGAACAUGAGCCUGCUGCGGCUGCAGUACUACUGCGUGCUGGGCGCGGUGGCCGGGGCCGUCCUGUUCGCCACGCUCCGCUACAUGCCGGCCGCCGGCAGCGGCGCGGCCCUCUCCACCACCUCCGCGCUCGCCACCGCCGCGGCGCCCGCCGGGUCCGGGGCCGGGGCGGGCGAGCACCGGAAGAUCAAGGGGACGGCGCCGGCGCCGGCGAAGGCGGCGGCCAAGGUGGUGACGAAGCCCAAGGAGGUGGUGGUGUUCAACUUCGGCGACUCCAACUCGGACACGGGCGGGGUGGCGGCGAUAAUGGGGAUCCGCAUCUCGGCGCCGGAGGGGCGCGCCUACUUCCACCACCCCACCGGGCGGCUCUCCGACGGCCGCGUCGUCCUCGACUUCAUCUGUGAGUACCCCCCGCGUUCCCCUCUCCUCUCCUCUCUCACCGUCACUUCAGGCAAAGUAGAAAUUGAUUAGAUUAACCAAGUGUUAGUAAUUUAAAUACUCCUACGAGUAGUACUGUUUUUUUUCUCUCGAGGGAAUUUACUACCAGCGCUAGUAGAUCAAUCCACCGAAUGUCUUGUCGGAUUGCGUAAUCUAUCUCCAAUAUGCUUGGCCGCAUUGGGAAUCGAUUGUGGGGAGGAAGAGGGCGCGUUUGAACUGAAAAUUGCUAACAAGGUUGGUGGAAGAAUUGGAAAUCAUGGUUAAUCGCUGGCAUUUGAAUUGAAAAUAAUUUCCCUUUCAUUAAUAUUUGAUUGAUUUUUCUUGACCGUCGUUGGAGCUCAUAACCAUGGUGUGUGACCUGCCAUCAGCUGAAAAAACACGAACGCGGUCCGACGGGUACACUGUUUUCGCCUUCCCCGCCAUGCCGUGUGAAAGUUUUGGCGGCCAAAUCGUGACCUGACCUCCAUCCAUCUACAUCUGCCCAGCUAGCAUGCCGUCGCAUUUCUUCCAGGCCACCGAAUCAACGUGGUCUGGCGGAUUCCGUUGGUUUUUGACGCGUUCGGCUUGACGCCAAAACCUGGGCGAGACGCGUCUCUCCGCCGCUCUUGUCCCGUUUCCAUGAGAAACCAGGCGCAUGGGCCACGGCCACCGCGGGGAGGUAGAUCCACCCCCGAAUUGAUGGCCAACCAACGUUUUCGUGUGAUGGCGGUUGACGCCAAAGACCAAAGUCCAUACGUCUGUCUGUCCGUUCGGUCUGGCAACCACAGAUGAUGCGCACUGACCGACCUCUCUGGCCGUGGCCGGAAAGGAGGAAAGAAAAGCGAGCCGCUUGUGUGGGAACACGGAAUCUCAUGCCAGGUUUUGAAGCAUCCUCGUGCAUGCGGCCGUUGUCGAAUGCCAACCACCCCGCACUAAUCUAAAUCAACUUACGUAGGUUUAGCUUUCGUUGAAAGAAAGGAAAAGAAAUGAGAUCGUAGGAGUAGAUCAGUUAAGCAGAAGGGUGGCAUGCAUAUCCAUCCAGCCAUCCAACCAGUGGUUGGUGAAGGCGCCGCGCUGGCCGCUGGAUCCGAUCGCACGACGCCGACAGCUCCUCUGCCUGCCCGGCCGGGUUCGUCUCGUCUCGUCACGCACACACGCGCACCUGAGCUUACUCAUCUUAAGCAUCAGGAGUGAGUGGGUGACCACAGUAUGCAGUAGUACUACUGCACGUUUUCGGCGGAGUGUAAUGCGACGACGACGAGGGUGAGUCGAAUUUCUCGUCGUGGAUGACAUGACGUAGCUAGCUAGGACCUGGACGACGAGGUGGGUGUGGUGGAGCGUGGCACCGGCACGGAGCGAGUUGGCUGGGAAUGCCUAGCGAGCAAGGGAGGAGCGACCUGACGUAGCUAGCUGCAGCAACUCCUCACCCACUCCUGAGUCCUCACUCCUCUUUUUUUUAUUUAAAAAACACCCAAAAAAUCACAUGCUGCGCUAGCGCUAGCAUCACAUGGCUCGAUCGACCGAACCACCGGCGGCUACCUCUGCCCAUCUUUUAGCCACCUUUUUGGUCGUUCCCUGCACAUGGCCACCGGCCACGUAGUAAUAGUAAUUUUCUGCUCCGUAUUACGCGCUUUGAUCCCGUGGUGCUCAGACCGACAUCUCUCCCUUUGAGUGGAUGCUGGGGCCCAAUCCCGCACAAGGAAGGGAAAUCGAGUUGAGUUGCACCUUCUUCCGUUCGAGUUUUCGAGAGAGAAUCAAUGUCCCGGCCGGCCGGUCCCCAUAUGAUCAUAUCGUACACGUCGGAGCGAUAGAUCCCCACAAGGCCGCACAACAAGAGAUCCGCACCGACGCAACAAUUUCCUAGCAGUACUGUAAUACGUUUGUCCUUGUGGUUGUUGGUUGGACGAACAAGCGCUCGAGUCUUCCAGGCCUCCCGCAUUCAUGCCGCGCCAUCCUCGCUCACCCACAAGACGGAUGACAGGCCAGAGGUUUCGGAUCCAUCCAGACGGUUCCCCUCUUCUAGUUUCCGACUAGCUAGUUUUUCUUUUUCGCGAAUACGCAAAGCGUGCGUGUCUUCUGUUGACAAAAGAAGAGGAUAAAGACAAGUGUGGGUGCUAUGGACGAGGCGUGCCGUGCUUUUGACUCUCUUCGCUGCUGUGAAGUUGUGCUGUGGAACUUGUUGAUCGGAGGGCUUGCGAUGAACGGCCAUGCUGACCGUGCACUCGAGUUGUUCCAAAGGAUGCUCGGAAACGGUUUUCUGCCAAAUCAGCCAACGUUCGUUGCUGCUUUAUGCGCGUGCACCCACACUGGCCGUGCCGACCAAGGGAGGAGAAUUUUCCAGUCGAUGCGGCACCACAGGGUCGAGCCACAGACAGAGCACUAUGGGUGCCUAGCCGAUCUCCUUGGGCGUGCAAGUCGUGUUGAGGAGGCUGAUACCGUGUUGUUGGAUAUGCCAACGGAGCCACAUGCAUCCCAAUGGGGGUGCGCUCAUGUCGUCGUGCCGGAUGCAUAAUGAUAUCACUGUCGGCGAACGUGUAGGGAAGCAGCUCAUUGAGCUAGAGCCACAACAUGGUGGAUGUUAUGCUGUUCUGUACUUCUGUUCAACUUGUAUGCAGUCAAUGGUCGAUGGGAUGAUGCGAGAGCCAUUCGGCAUAUGAUGGUCGAGAAGGGAGCCAAGAAAGGGGCGGGUUUGAGCUUCAUGGAGUGAAAUGGCUGGUUCCAUCCCUGGACAAGGCAGAUCUAUGCACUGUCGGAAGAUACUACUAUCUCUUGUGAGUGCAAGAGCAAGACGAGGGAUCUGCUUCAAUGUCUGACAGAAGUAGCUUCUCUGUCAACUGGUGUGGUGAGGCUAUCUAUGGCAGUUUCAUGUUCUCCAGUGGCAAGAACACAAGCUAGCCACGGGAACCCCAUCAAAAUUUUUCUGCACAUGUUAGUGUUUAUGCUUCUGCUCCACUUGCUCCCUGCAGCGACUGCUGGUACUGUUCAAGUGCAUCUUAUUCUUGCCAAAAAGCAAAAAAGAAAAAAAACUACGAAAAAAAACACUGCACCUGUAAAAUGCCAAAAGCAUGAAAGAAUUAAGAAGGAUUAAACAUAAGAGUACCACUCACGGCAAAAAUGCCUUGCAGUUUACUGCUCCUGUACUAUGCAAGUCAACACUAUCGUGUGGACUCGAUCAAACGCCUCUCGACUUUGAGCUCAACAGCUCACCUGCAUAACAUAUAUGGAUGGAGAAUCUUUUUCAUAGAGCACAAGUGGAAGGAUAAACAACACAUGUCCUGCCCCAUACGUGUGUUUUUUUACUGUUUUUUUCCAUUGGGAUGCGGAACAUUUGCAGAAAUAAAUCCGAAUUUUUCAGUUUUCGAUGCUUCACUUGGCUGACAGUUUAACGGUUUGCUCUGCCAUUUCCUCUUCUUCAGGUGAGACCUUGAACACGCACCACCUGAGCCCCUACAUGAAGCCGCUGGGUUCCGACUACAGCAACGGCGUUAACUUCGCCAUCGCCGGAGCCACCGCGACGCCAGGGGACACGCCGUUCUCACUGGACGUGCAGAUCGAUCAGUUCAUCUUCUACAGGGACAGGUGCAACGACUCCAUCACAAGAGGUUUGCUCCCUCUCGAUCUGACCAAGGUUUCUGGUUUCUUUGACGCACCGUCUCAACUGACAAACUUGUUGGUUAUUUCCUGGUGAAUGUCAUUCAGAUGAGCCCGCCCCGCUCAACAUGCUGGAUUUCGAACGAGCUUUGUACACCAUGGACAUUGGGCAGAACGACAUCACUUCCAUUCUCUACUUGCCCUACGACGAAGUGCUCGCAAAGCUUCCCCACUUCGUUGCCGAAAUCAGGAAAGCCAUCGAGGUACAUACACAUGGUUCAGAGACGGAUUUCCGUAAAUUCUGAAACAGUGGUUAAUUACUCUGUGCAACGACCGUUGAGUGUUCGACCCUUGCGAAACUGCAGAUUCUGCAUAAGAACGGGGCAAGGAAGUUCUGGAUACACGGGACAGGCGCGCUGGGAUGCCUGCCGGCGAAGCUGGCGAUGCCGAGGGCCAGCGACGGCGACCUCGACGAGCACGGGUGCAUCGCCAAGUUCAACAAUGCCGCCAAGAGGUUCAACACGUUGCUGAGCGAGGCCUGCGACGACCUGCGGUUGCUGCUGAAGAAAUCGUCCAUCAUCUUCGUGGACAUGUUCGCGAUCAAGUACGAUCUCGUCGCCAACCACACCAAACACGGUAAGUUAACGAUGCCAAUUCCACUUUGCCAACAAGCUGCAACGAGAUCAUCGUUCAGUAAUCGUUGUUCGUGAAUAUAAACUUGUGUUGGUUCCUGUCGAUUCUCAGGGAUCGAGAAGCCGUUGAUGACAUGCUGCGGCCACGGAGGGCCCCCUUACAACUACGACCCCAAGCAGAGCUGCAUGGGCGACAGCAUGGACCUGUGCAAGCUUGGCGACAAGUUCAUCAGCUGGGACGGGGUCCACUUCACCGACGCGGCCAACAGCAUCGUGGCCUCCAUGGCGAUCAGCGGCGAGUACUCCGUCCCUAGGAUGAAGCUCACCAGCUUGGUCAAGCCUGCCAAGUCCAAGGCCUCGUAAUGAUGCGUCGGUCCAGUGAGCCCAAUGCUUUGAGAUAUAGGAAUGAUGAAGGUGAAGGUACUAACAAAAACUAACCCCCAAUGCGAGUUCAUCGGAAGUCCUUAAUCGCAGACUCACAGCCGCCGUGAAAGAUGGGAUCUUCUUUUUCUUCUUUUCUUUUUCUUUUCCUUUAUGUAUAAUCGAAGUGUGCGUAUAUCAUAUCCUAGGGGUUAAGUUAAUGCAUAUGCAGGUUGUCUGUGGUUGUGUGCCAUAUAUGAACUUGUCUAAGAAAUUCUGAAUUUUGAUCAAUAAAUAUUAAAUAGAGAUGAGUAUUUAACAUGCUUUUGUCGUUUUUUAACUUGCAAAAAUGAAUGAUAUCUUAUCAUUUAGUGGCACAGAAGCUAAGCUAAAUAUCUUUCAGUUUUACUAAAGCACAUCUAGAUGUGCCAUAAGUAUUGCACAUCUAAUUCCUACAUCAUUGAUCUUAUAUUGAGAUUCGUGUGGAUAUUUUCUUUUUUCUUUUUCUCUUUGUGCUUGAUUCACUCACUUAGAUGUGCAAUAACUAGAACACAUCUAGAUGUGCCCUAAACACAUCCAAUAUCUUUUUACUUCUGAAGAUCUAAAGGAGAAGAACUCGCAUCAUUGAGACCGUGACACAUGGAAAGCAAACACUGAGAAAAAUCAAAUGAGGCACGGAAAUCCUUUUACAUGGAUACAAUUAGUCACUAAAAUUACGUUUUUUUUACGUUGUGACUGUGACGGAAGAGUAUUAUAUAAUACUCCCCCGUCUCGCUAUAUAAGAUGUUAUUACAUCUAAUGUACUCACACAUUAGAUGUAGUGACAUCUUAUAUUUUGGGAGGGGGUAGUUUGUUUUUGGGAGAUGGUAGAGGGGUGUCACCAUUCCUGGAGCAUAUCAUGGAGACAUGCAAAAAUUUCAACCGGUUUGUACAGACUACAGACUGGAAAUACAGGCAGAUCAGAUGCGUCCAAAGUUUCAGGUCUACAUGGAGCUCGGAGUCUCGGCCAUGGCUACCUAUUUUUCCUUUUCCUGCCCACUUUCUAGGCAAGGAAGAAGGAAGAACCCGUCUGGCUUGGUUUCGCAUUGGUCAGAGAAGUCAAAGCGCAAACAAGGUUCGAUCAAAUUACAACUCUGCCAAGGAAUACAUCCCAGCUGGUUCCAUCAUUCCAUUUCCAUGUAGUGAUCUACUCCCUCCGUUUCAAAAUAGAUGUAAUUAAUUAAUUAAUUAAUUAUGCAGUUUCCCCCUUCUAUUAGAAAAUAAUUAGGGUGCAGAACGGGGACCAACUGAGGUGCUGCUGCUAAGGACUAGAAACCACUAGGCUUUCUUUUUUGGAACAGAUCUGAACCGUAAACUUGUACAUUUGCAGUCACCAUUGGAAAGAAGAUUCUUGUGCCAGCCAGACCCCACCCCCUCCCUCACCCGCAUUUGCGAGUUUGAAAACGUCCAUGCGGCCGUCACUCGGCGGCUUCGUCAACACCCUCUCCCCACCUCUCCUCCAAUAAUCAUGUCGUUGCCAUCUACGCGAAGCCAAACCAGCAAUCACUUCCUGAAAUUUAACGGGUGUUUCUUUGAAUUUUACAAAGAUAUUUAACCAAACGCUUCACUGCCACUCUAAAACACUUGCUCGGUUCACAAAUUUAAGACGUUUUGGUUUUUCUGUGACUCGAAUUUAUAUAGACACGUUUUGCUGUGUUUGUUCACUCAAUUCAGUUCAUAUGCGGUUCAUGUUAAAAUGUUCAAAACAUCAUCUAUUUAUGGAGCAUGUGCAAUUGGUGGCUCCAUUUCAGUUCUCUAAACAUAACAACAUAAAAAAAUUGCAAUAAAAAAAUUAAUUUCAGAAGAUGCACUGUGAAAAAAAGGGGAAAGAAGAUCCCGCCAUAUAUACGCGUACGCGCGUAGACACUUUGCAGUGGAAACUUUCCACCCCUCGCGUCGUGAGAGAGACCGGGGCAAGGGAGCGAGAAGCCGAGAAGGAGCUGCGAGGGGCCAUCGAUGGCCAUGGCGGCGGGCGGGCCCAACGGCGGCGCGAAGGUGGUCAGCCUUCGCCUGCAGUACUACUGCGUGUUCGCGGCGGUGGGCGUGGCGGUCAUCGUGCUGUCGCUCACCUUCCUGUCGCCGUCCGCCAUGGGCGCCGUCCGCCAGAACCUCGGCACCGUCGUGGCCGUGGCCACGAAUUCCACCAGCGGCGACGAAGCGGCACGGGUGGUAGGAGGCGGGGAGGCGGUGGCCGCGGCCAAGGCGGAGCCGGAGAAGGAGAAGCCGAAGAAAGCGGAGCCGCCGGUGGUGCUGUUCAACUUCGGCGACUCCAACUCGGACACCGGCGGCGUGGCGGCGGCCGGGGGCAUCCACAUCAUGCCACCCGAGGGACGCACCUACUUCCGCCGCCCCACCGGCCGCCUCUCCGACGGCCGCGUCAUCAUCGACUUCAUCUGUGAGUUGCUCAACCACAACCCAUAUCCUCCGGCCCGUCAAUAAUUACCACAUCUCGCCAUUUGUCAACAAACCGAGUGCUCAAUUGUGAAUUCCAAAUUCCAGAUUACUUGUUUAUCAGCUGCUCGUCAUCAAUUUGAAAUUAUAAACCACUAUAGCAUAGCUGCAAAGAAACAUGGCUAAAUUGCACAUGAUCGUCUCAAGUGAAUUUCCUCCGAUCCUCGCCUCGCCGGAACCGACCCGUUCCCGUGAAAUUCCCGCCGAUCCACGGCGCACCGAGCAACCGGAACUCUGUACGUAGCCGGCUCGGUUGGUGGGUGGAUGGAUGGGUCAUGGGUGAUCUCGAGUAAUCUGGGUCAACAAGCUGGUCAUGUCGCCUUCAACGUGGAAGAGAUACUUAAAAAAAUAUCGGGUGCUGUCAAAACGGUGGUUGAAGCGGUAGUCGCGAGCAUGUGCUACCUAACCUAACAAUGGCUGAUUUCCCUCUCCUUUUUGUCCUUCUCGUCUCCAAUCGGGGGAGAGAAAGAAAGAAACCUAUCGUCUUGUAAUUUUGACCUGCUAGUCGUGGUUGGGUGUGGCUGGCCUGUAGAUGCCAACUGCUGGGUUAAGAAAGAGCAAUCUCCUUGCAUGAUCCAAUUUUUUGACAAGACCUGUUCUUUGUGCUUAGUUAUACUAGUUGUUUAUCUCUGUGGAGACAAAGAGGUUGGCAGGCCAAACAGGUGAAGAACAGAGGGUGAAGCUAUGCAACGUAGGCCAGCUUUGUUCGGCACAAAAGGUGUAGUAAAGCUACCUCGGUAAAACUAAAAAGAAUUAGGCACGGCGUUUAGCGCCUGAAUUAGCCACGGGCCAAGCACGGCUUUAUCUUAGUAGUAGAAUAUUGUACAUUCUGAAAGGGGAUUGGGCUAGUAGAUCUUAACCAAAGCGUGCAGAUGAUAUAGUAAUAAUUUUGAAACGGCCGCUCCAAUCACAGCCAUGCAGCUGAUGGUUACUUCUGUGGGUUCAUUUUUACACACCCAUGUGUUGUCUGUUCUGUCAGUUGCUGGGUCAACACAGUGACAUUGCGAUUAACGCCGUGAUCGGAACAUGACAUUGCAGUUAGGGUUUGAACACCCACCAGCCACAUCCCACAUGGUUUUCUUGUCCCAGUUUGUCUUCUUUAAUGGUUACUCUAUAUGCCAUGACGAUGCCAGCGUGCAAGGAAUCGUUCAAUUGCGAUUAAUUCAUGUUGCGUUAUGUUUGCUCGCGCGGUCAAACUUUAUCCACCUGUAGUGGAAAUGGGGGUGGGAUGUUUAAGAAUCAUUUCCGCCCACUUAUAAGUUCCGAUUCAGCCGCCUUAAUUAGUUUAUAAUAUUUGCUAUUACGGGCAAUUUGCAUGCCAUGAUCCUCUCAAGAAUGUGUCACCAUGUGAUGGUUCAUGGCUCUCACACUGUGUGCACAUGGACAGCAGUCCCAUCCAUGAUGCUAUUGCUCCCUGAGAUGCGUGAUAUGUGAUCUGUGCAUGCCCUCCAAGUUUUUGAGCGAAUUUAUAUCACAAUGCUAUUUAUUCCAGUAAAUAAUAAGUUUGGGUGAAGGUUAGUUUCAAAAAAAGUUUGGGUGAAGGCAUAGCGGUGACAUUAAAUCAGAAUAGAAAGCAUAUGUACUUUCAAUAUGUUUGUCAUGAAAGCUUCAACAUCCAAUUGAGGAUAUCAAGUACGUACAAUAAUAGGAGUUAUCACAUAGCCUGGAUAAGAUGGUUGAGAUACACAUGGUGGGGGGCACCUGUGAGUGCCUAUUGUUCCCUUGUGAUAAGAGCUAAGUUUCUGUAGCAUAUGGUUGUGACAGAUACAUUCGGUUGUGUGUAGGGACAUGGUUUGAUUAACGAGCUGUCCAAGAUAUUGUCCUUGGAUAAGGCUUUUUUUUCCGGCACUUACGAAAAUUCGGUAGAAGUAGGUCUGGAACUUCCUUUCAUAUGAACAAGCUGAGGCUUACUACAAAAUUACCUGUGUUCGAAAGCUGGAAAUUAGUCUUGCAUACUCAAUCCUUGGUAUCAUCUUUCCAGGCGCGAGUCUGAAGACGCAUGAGCUGAAUCCGUACCUGAAGGCAGUGGGCUCCGACUACAGCAACGGUGUCAACUUCGCCAUGGCCGGCUCCACGGUGUCCCACGGCGUCUCCCCCUACUCCCUCAAUGUCCAGGUCGACCAGUUCGUCUACUUCAAGCGCAGAUCCCUGGAGCUCAUCGAGCUAGGUUCGCCAUCCUUGUUGCCAUCACAUCUCACAGUUGCAACUUGCAGGAGAAUGAAGGAAUGUGUCUGACAAGAGUCGUUGCGUUCUUGCAGGACUGAAGGGCCCGGUGAGCAAGGAGGGCUUCGAGAACGCGCUCUACAUGAUGGACAUCGGCCACAACGACGUCGCCGGCGUGAUGCACACGCCGUCCGAUCAGUGGGACAAGAAGUUCAGACAGAUAGUCAGCGAGAUCGGCGACGCGAUCCGGGUAAAUUACGAUGCGCCGUCUGAAGAUGUUCUUAUUCUUACAAGCAAGCUGUUACGCUGACAGAAGUUAUUGUUGGCGACUGUGGUUUUCCAGAUCCUGUACGACAAUGGCGCGAGGAAGUUCUGGAUCCAUGGCACGGGCGCCCUGGGCUGCCUGCCGGCGCUGGUGGUGCAGGAGAAGGGUGGCGAGCACGACGCGCACGGCUGCCUCGCCAGCCACAACCGGGCGGCGCAGGCCUUCAACAAGAAGCUCAGCGACCUCUGCGACGAGGUGCGGCUGCGCCUCAAGGACGCCACCGUCGUCUACACCGACAUGUUCGCCAUCAAGUACGGCUUCGUCGCCAACCACACCAAAUACGGUAUGAACAAUUCAAUCAAAAAAUGCCAAUGGUAAGAAGUUGAGUCUCUGGGAAUUCUUCUCAUCGUCUUCUCGUUCUUCUCUUCAGGGAUUGAGUGGCCAUUGAUGGUGUGCUGCGGAAACGGCGGCCCGCCUUACAACUUCAUGCCGGGGAAGUUCGGCUGCGGCGAUCUCUGCGGGCCGGAGGAGAAGGUGCUGAGCUGGGACGGCGUGCACUUCACCGACUUCGGCAGCGGCCUUGCCGCCAAGCAUGCCAUGAGUGGCGAGUACUCCAAGCCCAGAGUAAAGCUGGCGAGCUUGCUCAAUGGUGGCUCCAAGAAGCCAUCAUCUGUGUCUUGAUGCUCAUCAAUCAACGAUUGAACCACGAACUUACUUUGGCCGGGUCUUACUUUAAAAAGAAUGGUUUCUUGACAAAAAGGAAAAAAGAAGAAGCUUCGAAUGGAUCAUGGAUGAGUGGAUAAUGGUGAAGAUCAAUCCAUACGAUGACCACGAUGGAUGAUGUGAGUGUUGUAAAGGUCGCAGCUGAUUGUUGGCUCCUUGUACACAAUAGGCAAAUAGCUCCCUCGGCUACAAGUAAAAAGUUGUCGAUAUUUUCUUUGCACUUUUGGAGUAUAAUGAUUUUGCUUUGUUGGUGUAUGUGUAUAGACAAUGUAUGUGGCGGCUGGGAUUUCACAGAGCUCAUGAAAAACGGUGAAUCAUAGAUUUAUUUGAUCUGUAAAAGAAGGUAAUACAAAAACUUCCAAGCAUAGGCACUUUUUUAUACAGAAUAUUGUAUUUCUAGCACAAAAUUUUCGUUUUGGAUUGUUUGAUUUGUAAAAUAGCAACCCAUAUGAAUUUUUUUGUAUCUAUUGUUUUCUAACUUUCAUAGGAUGAUCUCGACUCCGAGAUUCGUAUAUUGUCAUGCUGUAAUCAGACACACUUUGGUGCAAGCGCAAUCUCAUAGGGCUCAAGAAGACAUAGCAGUGCAAUUUUGUAUUUAUACUAACACAAUAGAAUCGCACACACAAACACUAUUUCUAUGAGCACCUUCAAGAUACUGAGCCGGCACACCAUCUUAAGAUUGACGAAGUCAUCACAAACGUGUCGUAGUCGACAUCUUCUCUCACUAAACGAACAUCGACGGAUAGCCUAAAAUUAAUCGAAGAAAAUGCAAGCCCUGAUAGGCUGGUUUCAUAACAAAAAAAUCUAACAUGUACUUUAUACAAUUCUUACAAUGUUUAGAAUCCUGUGAAUUGAAGAGGUCCUUUGAAUCUUCAAUCCACCAUCACUCAUUGUUUUUUCCUUGCUGUUUUAUUGUUUGUUAUCACUUUUUUUUGCUUAAGUUAAUCACUUUUUUUUGCACAUUGUUUGUUGUCACAUUCAAUCGUGUACACCACUGCUGUUCUGGAUUGGGCAUACAAUCAAGGAGAAAAACAUUGCAUGACAUUAACAAAGUGCAACAACAAAACAAUCAUUUAGUAUUCCUUCUUUUCCCCUCCCGCAAAGGCGACUAGGGUAAAGUCUUCCAUCCUUCAAUCUUUGCCGGUGAGCCCGCGAAUUCGCCUUCUCUCUGCCUGCCACUUCGACGGUCGAUGGCAGGGAGGGUAAUCACUGUGCCUCAGCUACAGUUUAGUACAUAGGUUAGGGUUUUAGUCAUCAUAUGUGCUACGCUAGGCAGAUGGCAACGCUUCGUCUUUAAGUUGGUCUUUAAGGCUGCGAUGUACGUCAGAAUGUAUUAGACAAAGCUCUCAUCAAGGCGACAAGGUUAGGGUUUCUCACCAUGCGUACAAGAUGGUGAAAUUUGGUGUGAGAUUGAUUCAAGGUUCAACAACAGACAACUGCGUCUCCAGGGCACUAGUAGGGCACAUGCAAGAACUCAGGCAGGUCCAACAUGUGAGGAAUCAUAACAGAACCAUGUCCUUUUCACAAACAAAAAAGGCCUUCUGCAUUGGAAGACAUGCUUCGAACCUCUAGGCCACACCAGGGUACAAGAGAAGAAGAAAGUAUGCUCUUUAGUACAGGAGAAAGUGUAAAUUUACCUAGGGCUAAUUAGUACGCUGUAUUCCAUCAUAGUGUCACUCCAAUCAAAAUCGACCUACUUGGUAUAUAAGCCAAAAUCACAUGAAAACGGGAUAUCACAAGCUGAUCUUCUUUGACAGAUGGUACACAGUUGUAUGUAAUUUUGGGCCUCUGUAAUCUGGACUUCAGAUACCGAAUGCU
Molecule: long non-coding RNA, 70374 nt
Filed under: Triticum aestivum (bread wheat)
Lineage: Eukaryota; Viridiplantae; Streptophyta; Magnoliopsida; Poales; Poaceae
Description: long non-coding RNA (TAES_LNC014870)
Source: RNAcentral